RNAcentral lists this long non-coding RNA (49753 nucleotides) under Triticum aestivum (bread wheat). RNAcentral describes it as "long non-coding RNA (TAES_LNC011792)". Lineage: Eukaryota; Viridiplantae; Streptophyta; Magnoliopsida; Poales; Poaceae. The record is from RNAcentral.
GAAGAGGAGCAGAGUGGGGAUGAGGAGCUGCAGGAUGACGAUGGGCAUCAGGCUGAUGAUGACCUAGCGCUGGUGGUGGCUGACCAAGGGCAAGAGAUGGUGGUGGCUGACCAUGGGCAAGAGAUGGUGAUGGCUGACCAUGGGCAAGAGAUGGUGGUGGCUGAGGAUGACCUAGAGAUGGUCGUGCCCGUCCUGCCUGAAGGUGGCCUCGCGAUGGUGGUGGUGCCUAACAAUGACCAUGCACCGGUGGUGGCGUCGGCGAUCCCACAGCUGGGCGACAUGACCACGCCAAUUGUGGUAGAAGACUACAUUCCACAGCUGCCUCCACCGCCUCGCCGCUCUUGGUGCAUCAGGCUGAGGAAGGAGAGGGAGAAGAACAAUGAGAACUGAACUAUGUCAGGUAUGUCAGAUCUCCAGAAUGAUAUAUCUAUACUUAGUUACCUAUGUUAUCUCUAAUAUGCUUAGUUUCCUAUAGGUUAGCUCCAAAAUUACUUAUGUUAGCACAAAAUGAUCAAGUUUACAUAAUAAGCUUAUAGUCUUCUUCUUAUUCUUCUUCUUUUCCAAAAUGACAUAUGUUAGCUUCAUUUUACCUAAGUUGGCUCUAAUAUGCUAACUUAGAGAGCUUAUAUGCUUAGUUUCCUAUAGGUUAGCUCCAAAAUAACUUAUGUUAGCACAAAAUGAUCAAGUUUACAUAAUAAGCUUAUAGUCUUCUUCUUAUUCUUCUUCUUUUCCAAAAUGACAUAGGUUAGCUUCAUUUUACCUAAGUUGGCUCUAAUAUGCUAACUUAGAGCUUAUAUGCUUAGUUUCCUAUAGGUUAGCUCCAAAAUUACUUAUGUUAGCACAAAAUGAUCAAGUUUGCAUAAUAAGCUUAUAGUCUUCUUCUUAUUCUUCUUAUUCUUCUUCUUAUUCUUCUUCUAGUAUUCUUCUAGUGUUCUAGUAUUCUUCUUGUUCUUCUCUUCUUCUUCUUCUUCUAACUUCUUGUUUAUCAUUUUGCAGAUUUGAUUUAAUUCACGGAAGCUUGCAUGGAUGGAGUGCUUCUUUUCAAUUUGUGUUUUUGUUUUGUAUCAAUGUGAAACUUUUGUGAAUUGAUGGAUAACGGUGUUGGAUGAACAAUGUGAAACUUUUGUAAUAUGUAACGAUGGAACUAUGUGUUGGCUAUGUAUGUAUAUAUGAUGAAACUUGUGUGUUGGAUAUGAUUGUUAUAUGGAUGCUUGUUGUAUAUAUAUAUAUGUGUUGGAUAUCUCAUAUGUGAAAUAGUGACCUGAGAUUAAAAAAAAAAUUGUUACUAAUGGCGCACUUCCAUGUGGUGCGCCAUUAGUAUACCUGAUACUAAAGGCGCACCUGUGGGAUACUAAUGGCGCAUCUGUGGUGCGCCAUUAGUAUACCAGAUACUAAUGGCGCACCUGUGGGAUACUAAUGGCGCACCUGUGAUGCGCCAUUAGUAUACCAGAUACUAAUGGCGCACCUGUGGUGCGCCAUUACUAAAAUAUACUAGUGGCGUGGUACUAAUGGCGCACCUAUAGUGCGCCAUUCGAACAGGUGCGCCAUUACUAGGCCUUUUCCUAGUAGUGUAUAUGGCAUUUUUAUUCCAGUCGUAACGUUUUCACUGUGAGGUGGGGCCGCAGUUGAGCAAACCCACCCCGCCCACCGGGCGUCGGCCGAGUUUAGAAUUAGAAGAGAGAAACUAGGGAGGAGAGCUAGCUAUAGCACAGGCGCUGUUGUCAGAUGGGACUCGUGUUUAUAGAAUAGGACUACUGAGCACUCGUGCCUCUUUUUUUUGAGGGAAAAAUUAGUCGUAUGUCUAGUACCAAUAGUUGGGUGCGUGCGACCUAUAGCUGUCAUCACUUUAGGUCUCCUUUUUGAACCGCAGCUACGCUUCACAGUACAUAUUUUUUCACGCAUUUAUCCUCCUAUAUGUACUCCUAGGCUAUUUCCACGUGCUCCCAUUCGCCGGCAUGUGGGACAUAGAGCAUCUGGGUCGUAGUGCAUGCACGACUCGGAGCAUAUGCCGGGGUACUUUACAUUUCAGACCUCACGAAUUACAUGCAACCCCCCCCCCCCGCAGAAGAAUAAAUAAAUGAAUGAAUUACUACAUGAAACCGGAUUAUUUUCGUAGAAACCGGAGCACGUUCAUUAAAUUUUGGACAUAACACGUUUAUAAAAAAUGACCAGACCUAAACCAGUCUAAGGGACUCUUUGAUUUUUCCCGCAAAAAAAGGGCCUCUUUGAUUCGCAGGAUACUGAAAACACAGGAAUGGGGAAAGUAUGAUGGCGAUGAACCGAGACGAGGAGAACUCUAACUCAGUUAGAGGUUAGAGUUAGAUUCUAACCCUAAACUAACUCUAAACCAAAGAGGUGUAUGUAUGGCAGGGUUAGAUUGACAACAAAUGCUCUUUCUCAAUCAUUUGACUACUUUGGACCUUAUUUCCUGCCGGAUUUGGUGUGGCCGGCUCUUUUGUGGCCUCCUCCCGCUCACAAUUGACAUAACGAACCAUAUUUACAAAUCAAGCAUGCAAAACAUGAUAAUUUUUACUUUGUCCAUACAAAUGAGAUAUCCCACUUAAACAUACAAGUCGUCAAUCAAGCUUCACAAAAAAACACUUCAUGAAACAAAGCAUGAGCUAACUCAUCACGGAAGUCAUUCACGAUAGGGAGGGAGCCCGGAGCCCCUCACGCACCGAGGGAGGAGCUCGCCAUCGUCUCUCUGGAGGAAGGCUCUGUAGAUCCCAAGCCCCGGGAACCCCUCCGACGCCGGCCCUUGUGAGUUGAGGUCGACACCGGCAUGGGUAGCAGGGCCGCUUGCCGCCGACUAGGAACUUAAUCUUUGGGCCUCUAGAAAUAAUGCAAGCCUGUAACUAAAAUACCUAGAAAGGUGAACUGAAUCUUUGGGCCUCUAGAAAUAAUGCAAGCCUGAAAUUGAAAUACCUAGAAAGGUGAACUGAAUCUUUAGGCCUCUAGAAAUAAUGCAAGCCUGAAACUGAAAUACCUAGAAAGGUGAACUGAAUCUUUGGGCCUCUAGAAAGAUUUAUUACCUCCUCAAGCAGCAUCAAACAAUUCCAUGCGUGCACCAAAAAUCUAUACCAAGUUUGAUUAGGAUCUACUUUUCCAAAUCAGAAUUAGCGCUAGAGCGAGCAAGAUCAAUGAUAUGGCCGUGAGACAGAGAAGGAACGAACAAACUCACCCCUCUCGCGACCUCCCUGGUAGAUGCGCCGCUGCCGCGCAUGACAGAGGGAGAAAAACGACCGGUGAAGGGGGAGCGGGGCGACCUUCGAAGGCCGGAGGGAGAGGGCGGCCGGAGUAGGGCGACGGAGGCCGGAAGGAGAGGGCAGCCGGAGGAGAGAGAGGGUGAGCGGCGCUUGGGCGGGCGGCCCUAUGGGGAACAAAGAGGAGUCAUGCAAGAGGGGGGCGAUCUGGUGCGGGCAGGGGAGAUUUUUUUAGUUCUCUUUUAGUGGGCCCGAGGAUAACUAACCCAAUUAGAACCUCUCCAUCGGGCUAGUUUUUUUAGCUGGGUUAGAGCAAACUAGCUCAAACUAACCACUCUUGUUUUUAUAAUUUGAGGCUAUUUCAACCCAAACUAGCUCUAACUCAGGGAUCCAAACAAAGAGGAGUGUUACUGUACAUGCUACAAUGUGGACCGUAGCACAUUGUUUUUUAUGGCCAUAUCACCACAUUGUUUUCUACUGCUGGUUCACUGGGCUACCGUGGUUCGCACUGCUGGUUCACUGGGUUGCCGUGGUUCGCACUGCUGGUUCACUGGGCUGCCGUGGUUCGUAGUCCUCUGACCUGAGUAGCAGUAGUACUAGUAUAUACCGCAUCAUUCUUUGCUCCUUCUUACUACUCCGACAUGUGGGAGAGCCAGCAUCCGGGUCGACGUGUCAUGCACCAGAUUAGAGCGUGGAACGGAAGGGGGGCAUCACCCCGGUCGGAGCGCCAGUAAUUCAUGACUAUACUGAGUGGUCAUAUCACAAGUCUUUCCAGCAGUAACGCACCGUCAAAUCGCACAGCCCGACCUUUCCAGCAGUAUGUUUGAGAAUCCUCCACUCGCUCACCCUCCUCGCCUCUCUGUCAAACCGCCUACCCGAAAACUGCCGCGCGUACUGCCUGGGAAAAGCACCACCCUCAACUUUUAAAUACGCGAAAAUAGUUCGAGCUUGUUCGUUCUAUAUAAAUACAGUACUUGCUGUAUGUUUAUUCACCCGUGGGAUUGUUCAAUGAAUGGAAGGGCGGGGAGCACAAGUGAACAAUACUAGUACUACUAGUAGUAAGUAGGAGUCGUACAGUAGUCACCUUAAAUAGAGAGUUUCUUUUCUUUAAUGCCAUGUACACAAAUUGAAACGCUUGUUGUGGAGAGAAAAAAGAUAAUCACUCCACUAUAUAUGUACACAGGGGCCUGAGCGCUUGCUUUACUAGGGUUGCUCUCUUCAUUCUCUCAUCCUCUCCAGAUAUAAACAAGACAGCGGUAGCGACAUUUUCUCUCUGCUCACCGCUGGUCACAGAUCCGGUCGGAUCCCUUCGGCCGGUGUGUGUAGAGGACUAAAAGGUGCAUCGUUCACGCGGUCAUCACCGCCGAGGGAGGAAAGCCACAGCUGCCGGAGGGGCCCGAUCAUCUGCCCAUGUCGUUCCCUCCGACACAGCGCCGGCUCGGGAGGUCCUCCGACCCUUCUUCCUCCCUGCUGUAUUGUCCGCAGAUCUGACCUGCCGCCGCCGACAUUCCGGCGACCCUCAGGUAUAAGUUCUUUGAAAGCGGUCUUGCUCUACUGCCCCAGCUCCCCACGUGUCUGCAUGUGCAUAUUUUUUUACUCCCAUCAGCUCUUCCAAAGCCACCUAAAUUUUUAGUAUUAUUAGAGGUUAAGCUACUUCAUGCAUUCGAAUCUAGGGCUUUGUUCAAACAACGAAGAAAGGUGGGAAAGUUGUAGCAUGAAUCUAGGACUUGAUUCAAAGAGAAAAUAAUAUGGUGAAAGUAGUAGAGACCGGAUACCCAACCGGUCUCUUGGUUGAAAAGGGAAAUAAUGGGAAAACGCAGUACAAACUGGAUAAGGAACAGAUCUAUUAUUGGUUGAAAAAAGGAUAGAAAGUGGCGGUAGUGGACAAGUCAACAGAGUAUGUCCAGGAUUAGAUUUGCUGCCAUCACAUAGUAAAAGGUCUCCAGGAUUAGAUUUGCUGCCAUCACAUAGUAAAAGGUCUCAGAAUUAGAUUUGCUGCCCUCACAUAGUAAAAGGUCUCCAGGAUUAGAUUUGCUGCCCUCACAUAGUAAAAGGUCUUCAGGAUUAGAUUUGCUGCCCUCACAUAGUACAAGGUCUCCAGGAUUAGGUUUGCUGCCCUCACAUAGCAUGAACAAACUCGGCAUCACCAUUUUAUGCCUCCUUGUAGGUACAUUGUGCUGAUGCGUCCACUGUCGCAUGUCCUUAUACCAACCUUUUGAUGUUGUUAAUGUAAGGGCGCAUGUAAAAUGAAGUGAUCACACUGUUACCUUAGGGACAUGUCUAACCAGUGUUAUUGUUAAUCUAAUGCCUUCAGUGAUAAGAUGCAAUUAAAGUGUGUUAUAAAUGGCACUCCUGCUGUUUGCCCCAGUAUGAUAAGUAAGUUGCUCCUUUACGCUGUUGAGUGUCCUGGUGUCCCCACGGUCCCAUGCCCUUAAACCAACUCUUUACCUACUGUUGAUUUACUAUAUCUGGUAAACAAGCAAUGCCACCAUUAAAGUAAUCUCAUAUUUGAGGAAUCUCAUUGUUGAUCGUAAUGCUUUUGGUAACAUGAAGCAUUGUUGACAUUUUAAAAUUUCUACUGUCCUUGCGUGAUUGCCAUGAACAAAAUUAAGAUGCUUCUUUUCAUUUUGUAUAUGUUUCGUAUAUUCUUAUUGACCAACAACUGUUUACUUUCUAUCUUUUUGUGCAGAUAGGGAUAUCCAUUUCACCUUGUUGCUAUUGUGACCUUUUGGUGAACUGCACAAAACACUUUUUUUGGAAUGAGUGUCUUGUGCAGUUCAACUAAAAUGUCACGUGGGCAACAUCUCUCAAUUUUGGUGGAACUGCACAAAAUGGUCAUUGGAGUUUCCAAAAUCUCCGUCAAGUUCUGCUGGUAAUCUUGUGCAACAUUUUAUUAGCCUUUGCAAGAUGGAGUCGUCACUGUCACCACAAUGGCAUUUUAUUUUAGUGAAACAUUUUAUUAGCCUUUGCAAGAAAAUUAUAGUUGCACCUUACAUGAGCCGUCAACCAACCUUAAUGUUCCUCAAUUUUAGUGCAACUACUAAAUAAAAACCUGCCAGCUCACGAGAGCAAGUACUUCUUGCUAGCUAAAUGAUGCAAUCUUUGCUUCAUUUCAGGUGAACUGCAGAAAAAGGCGCAUGAAUUGAAUCAUGGAACUCCAGGCAGACCUCAUCCUAGUGGAGUUGCGUUGAGUUCAAGGAGGCCACUAUUAAAGCGAAAUCAUGCUCUCCUUGUUUGUGUUGUGCAAACAGGAAUACUCAACUACAGAUGUUGUGACGGUCAAGAGCAUUCGCCAAGUUCUUCGAUUGUAUGACAUGGCUAGCCAAGAUGGAUUUAAUCCCGAUAUUCACUUUAUCAAAAGGCUCUAAUGGGUUGGUUCUGAAUCUUGCAAGCUGGGAAUCAAUGAGAUGUGUAGGCAUCUUUGUUGUACUUAUUAUUUGAAUCUUAUUUGUUGGUUCUGAAUCUUGCAAGCUGGGAAUCAAUGAGAUGUGUAGGCAUCUUUGUUGUACUUAUUAUUUGGAUCUUAUUUGUUGGUUCUGAAUCUUGCAAGCUGGGAAUCAAUGAGAUGUGUAGGCGUCUUUGUUAUACUUAUUAUUUUGAUCUUAUUUGUUGGUUCUGAAUCUUGCAAGCUGGGAAACAGGACAUGAUGAUGCAGAGGACAACAACUAUAACAAACAGUUCAAACUUGGUAGUAUUAUCUUUGUGAAAGUGUGACAAAUGUGCUGAUCGUGUGCGUCCUGAGAAUAAUAAUUCUAAUUGUUGUGCAUGUUGAUCCUGUGGCACUGAUAGAACGAGCAAAUGCAUUGCUUGUUUUAAGUAUAAAUUUCCAUUAAAGCUAAUUAAAUUCAAGUAAAGUGACCACUAACUACUGUUAUUAUAGUACCAAUACAGACCCGCUCGUGAACCGACGUGUGGCCGGAAUAGGUUUCUUAAUGGAGGCAUUUGAAUGCGCCGAGGGUGCAUCUUCUGCCGGGCGUGCAGCGGACGACGGAGGGGUAGUAACUGUUGUCGCAUGUACACACUCAGCUUAUUGGUGAAUCCAGUUCCCCAAGAGCUGAAAAACAAACUGCUGCCGCCGCCUACACACUCAUUCACUCGAAGAGACUCCAAUGGCGAUCCGAGGGGUGAGCCUGCUGGAUAUGGACUUCAGCAAGGAGUUCCCCUUUGAGUUUGCCGUUCAGUCCUAUGGCUGCACCUAGUUGAAUGUGAUGUACACCAACGAUCCGGACUCGGUGAAGCUCUACCUCGCCUCAGUCCUAUGGCUGCACCAGAUUCUGGAGCAUUCGUCUGUUUCAUCGGCAACGCCAAUUGCAACUUCACUAUAGUGGAGAAAAGGAAGAACACGAUGAUUCGGCCAUCUGGUGCAACAAGCUUGUCGACAUCUAGAAGCAAUACAAGAUCAUCAGCAACAGGCAGGAGAAGGACUCCGUGGUUGACCUCGUCGGGACCAUCAUCGACCCCUGAUACGCCAACAUGAAAGAAGACAAUGAUACCAAGGACCUGAACACGUGGGAGGUACCUCUGAAUCUAGCCUACAUAACCUACGCGGCCAAGGACGCAUACGCAUGCUACGACAUGUACAGGCAGAUCUUGGACAUGAGGGUGUGUCUGCUUCCCGUAACCGACGAGUACACGGACAGCCGCAGUGUCAUGAUCAAGCGUGCCAGGAAGGUCUAGAUGUUGUACUUUAUCUGUUUAUAAGCACCUUUAUCAUCUGAGUGUUUCAUGCAUUAGCCUAUGUGUCGUAAUUAUCUGUUUUGUCCGAAAUAUUUCUUUUAAGAACCCAUUAACCUGAUUGCUUUUUUAGUGGCUAUUUGCUUAUGUAUGUAACUAGUUCACUUGUCCGUUAAAAAAACUAAUUCACUCGGCUGCCGUGCUUUGGAUCUCCUUCCUCCCAACAUAUUCCCCUCCUCAGGUGGACCUGACACGUCUCUGAAUUUUCUCCCACUUCCUUUUUCGAUGUAAACUGAGUUUUCUCCCAGUACUUUUCCCUAGAACCAACUCAACUGUCCCAUGUCUAGCCUAAAAAUAAUAAUACCCCACGUACUAUUGACUCAUCAAAUUUAAAUGUUAUUUUAUUUCGUAAGUUGAAAGUUCUUACAAAAUAAUAAUAAUAAUUGUUUAUUUAAAACAUGGCAAGUUAACUCCUAGUGAUUGCGUACAUAAGCUUGCAAAGAUUUACUGACCAAUGCAGUAAUAGACGUGCAAUCAUGUGUUUAUGUUUUUAUAACAUUUCUCCGUCUAGCCCAACAUGAUAUUUUCACCCAGCCCAGCAAGUCCACGGAUUUCGAGAAAAAUGCAAAUGGGAUUUAAACGGGCUGCAUAGAUGCUACAUCAUUGUUUCACCCAGCCCACCAAAUGGACUAAAAAACAAAUGGACUGGCUGACAUGUGGUCCAGUAGGUCGAAGCCUAAGAAGGCGUUGGAUUUACAUCCAACAGUCGGCAUUCUUCUUCAAUCUCUUAUCUUCUUCCCCCAGCGCUGUCGGGACCGCCUGCUCUAGCCUUCGGCGUCCAGCGGUGUUGUUUUGCGCUCCUCAGCGAAACGCUACCCCGCCGACGGCCAGGCCAUCCAUCCACUCUGCAUCUCCUGUUAUUCUCUGCCGAGUGUAGGCCCACCCCGCACCCAAACCAGUCAAGUUUCCCACUCCUCUCCGUCUGCGACUCCACUGCCGCGUCUUCCCCAUAUCCGGGUCAUUCCAGUCUGGGGCCUCGCCAUCGUCCAUCGCCUCGGUGCGCUCGGCGCGGCGUGGUCAACAUACGAGAGUCAUCGGAAGAGGACUAUACGUGGAGAGCCUAACGGCUAGGACCCAUGAGGUCCAUGGUCGCACGCAAGGAAAGUUCCUCCUUAUUAUGCAUUGUAAUGGACUGUACGUGGGAAGGGCUUCUGUAUUUCGCGAAAAAAACGUUUCCCCCGCUGACAGGUCGGACCCACCAGCUAUAUCUUUGCACACAAGGAAGUGCCUCCUUAUUACGCACAAAAAAUGAAUACCCCCCUGCUAGCUGGGACCCACCAUAGUGGGUGGGUGACUUGUGGUCCUACUAAGUUGACGAGGGCGGAGGGCUUUGUCAACUUAGUCAAUAUGAAUGAUUCUAGAUCUAAUGACCGUAUGAUGUCCAUCCAACGGUUAUAGUGCUUCUUCAACCUCUGGUCUUCUUGCUUCAGCCGCCCAAAGCAGCGCCGGUCGUGCCGCAUGCUCCUGCCUCUCAUGGCCAGCUGUGAUGCUGCGGAGGCCUCACCACCCCCUACUACUCCCACCGUUGGCCCAGGGCAUCCCUCUACUCACCCACACCCCCUGUUAUUCUGCGGCGACAGCAGCCUCACGCCGCAGCCGAACCAGUGAACCCUCGUACUCCUCUUCACGUGGGCAUCCACUGUCGCGUCUUCCGCGGCUCCACGUCGUCCCCUUCCUAGGCCUCACCGUCGUCCACCGCCUUGGUGCUCUUGGCGUGGCGUGGUCAAUGUGGUCAACGACCGACUUCCAUCGGAAGAGUACUGUACGUGGAGAGGCUGACAGCUGGGUCCAUGGCCGUAGCUGGGUCCACGACCACAGCCCAGUUUUUGUGUGAUUUGCCAAGUAAGUCGCUUUGUCAGGCCUGUUGGGCUGCAAAUCUUUCAAGAUGAGGAGAGCUUCAUUCGGCUGGCCGAGAAAAUGGCCUAUCAGUAAUGAGAAAUGGGUUGUACAUUUUUAAAACACAUCAAACCGGCAAUUAGUUUCAAAUAUCUUUUUUCAUUUCGAGAUUUUAAACUGCAUUUAUUUUUAUGCGUGGACAAUUUGUUGGAUUUUAUAUUGAUAUACAUUUAUUUUUAAAAUCAUUUUGAAUGUGACUCGAAAUUUCGGGAUUAAAAACAGUUCGGACCGCACCGAAAUAUGCAAAAUUUUGUAUAAUUUUUUAAUUGUGGCCACAAUAUGGGUUGUAAUGCUAACAAAAAGAAUAUGGGCUCCAAAAAAACCUUAAGAAUUAGCAAAUGGGCUGUAAAUUAUUAGAAAUAAUGGCAGGUGGGUUGUAUGCUGUUUUCCACAGAUUUGAGGCUUUCCUAAAAAAAAGGUUGACGCACAAGCAGUGACUGUUGGAUUUCCAUCCAAUGGCCGUCGUGCUUCUUCAAUCUCUGCUCUUCCUGCUCCAGCCGCUCAAACAAGCGCCGACGGGACUGCCUGCUCCCUCCUCCCCGCGGCCGGCUGUGCUACUGCGGAGGCCUCACCGCCCCACCGUACUCCCAUCGCUGGCCUAGCCAUCCCUCUACUCACCCACACCUGAUGUUAUUCUCCGGCGACGGCAGACGAACCAGUAAACCCUCGUACAGUCGUACUCCCCUCCGCAUGGGAAAUAACUGCCGAGUCUUCCCGUCCUCUGUGUCGUUCCCUUCCUAGGCCUCGCCGUCGUCCACCGCCCUGGUGCUCUCGGCGCGGCCUGGUCAACGUGGUCAACGACCGACAUGCAUCUAAAGUGGACUAUACGUGGAGAGGCUGACAGCUGGGUCCACGGCCGCACGCAAGGAAAUGCCUCCUUAUUACGCGCAAAAUAAUGAUUGCUCCACCUGACAUCUGGGACCCACCGAAAGGGCCUCUGUAUUUCGCGAAAAAAACGUUACCGCCACUGACAGCUUGGACCCAUCAUCUAUAUCUUCGCACGCAAGGAAGUGCCUCCUUAUUACGCACAAAAAAAUGAAUACUCCCCCUGCUAGUUGGGUCCCAGUAUAGUGGCAGGCUGACUUGUGGGCCUACUAAGUUGACAGGGACGGAGGGCUUUGUCAACUUAGUCAAUACUCCAGUGAUCGUACGAUGUCCAUCCAACGGCCGUAGUGCUUCUUCAACCUCUGGCCUUCGUGCUCCAGCCGCCCAAAGCAGCGCCGGUCCUGCCGCAUGCUCCUGCCUCCUGUGGACGGCUGUGAUGCCGCGGAGGCCUCACCGCCCCCUACUACUCACACCACUGGCUAGGCCGUCCCUCUACUCACCCACACCCCCUGUUAUUCUGCGGCAACGGCAGCCUCACACCGCAGCCGAACCAGUGAACCCUCCUACUCCUCUUCGCGUGGGCAUCCACGGCUGCGUCUUCCUCGGCUCCGUGUCGUCCCCUUCCUAGGCAUCACCGUCGUCCACCACCCUGGUGCUCUCGGUGCGGCGUGGUCAAUGUGGUCAACGACCGACUUCCAUCGGAAGAGUACUGUGCGUGGAGAGGCUGACAGAUGGGUCCACGACGACCACAAGGAAGUGCCUCCUUAUUACGCGCAAAAUAAUUAUCGUCCACCUGACAGCACGGACCCAUCGGACGGGCCACAGUAUUUCACGAAGAAACAUUUCCCCCCUGACUGCUGGGACCCACCAGCUACACCUUCACACACAAGAAAGUGUGUCCGGGCAAAAAAUGAUUGGCCCCCUGACUCCUGGGACCCACCAGCUACAUCGUCGCACGCAAGGAAGUGCGUGACAGUCGGGACCCACCUGGUCAAAGCAUACGUAGCAUUGUUAUUCUGGUUGAGAACGUGUACGUACAUAGUGGUGGAUGUAGAGGCGUGCACGUGUCGUAGUAGAGGCGCGCACGUGUCGUAGUAGAGGCGCGUACUGUCGUAGUAGAGGCGCGCACGUAGCAUGUACACAUACGUAUAGCGGCCAGUGUGCAAGUAAGAAAAUGCGGCCACGUAUGUGUAUGUUGGAAGUAUGCCCUAGAGGCAAUAAUAAAAUGAUUAUUAUUAUAUUUCCUUGUUCAUGAUAAUUGUCUUUUAUUCAUGCUAUAAUUGUAUUAUCCGGAAAUCGUAAUACACGUGUGAAUACUUAGACCACAACAUGUCCCUAGUGAGCCUCUAGUUGACUAGCUCGUUAAUAUACAGAUAGUCAUGGUUUCCUGACUAUGGACAUUGGAUGUCAUUGAUAACGGGAUCACAUCAUUAGGAGAAUGAUGUGAUGGACAAGACUCAAUCCUAAGCAUAGCACUAAGAUCGUGUAGUUCGUUUGCUAGAGCUUUUCCAAUGUCAAGUAUCUUUUCCUUAGACCAUGAGAUCGUGUAACUCUCGGAUACCGUAGGAGUGCUUUGGGUGUACCAAACGUCACAACGUAAUUGGGUGACUAUAAAGGUGCACUACAGGUAUCUCUGAAAGUGUCUGUUGGGUUGACACGGAUCGAGACUGGGAUUUGUCACUCCGUAUGACGGAGAGGUAUCACUGGGCCCACUCGGUAGUGCAUCAUCAUAAUGAGCUCAAAGUGACCAAGUGUCUGGUCACAGGAUCAUGCAUUACGGUACGAGUAAAGUGACUUGCCGGUAACGAGAUUGAACGAGGUAUUGGGAUACCGAUGAUCGAAUCUCGGGCAAGUAACAUACCGAUUGACAAAGGGAAUUGUAUACGAGCUUGCUUAAAUCCUCGACAUCGUGGUUCAUCCGAUGAGAUCAUCGAGGAGCAUGUGGGAGCCAACAUGGGUAUCCAGAUCCCGCUGUUGGUUAUUGACCGAAGAGCCGUCUCGGUCAUGUCUACAUGUCUCCCGAUCCCGUAGGGUCUACACACUUAAGGUUCGGUGACGCUAGGGUUGUAUGAAUAUGAGUAUGCAGCAAACCGAAAGUUGUUCGGAGUCCCGGAUGAGAUCCCGGACGUCACGAGGAGUUCCGUAAGGGUACGGAGGCAAAGAAUUAUAUAUAGGAAGUGUUGUUUCGGCCAUCGGGAAAGUUUCGGGAUCCACCGGUAUUGUACCGGGACCACCGGAAGGGUCCCGGGGGUCCACCGGGUGGGGCCACCUAUCCCGGAGGGCCCCGUGGGCUGAAGUGGGAGGGGAACUAGCCCCUAGUGGGCUGGUGCGCCCCCCCUUGGGCCCCCCUGCGCCUAGGAUUGGAAACCCUAGGGUGGGGGGCGCACCACUUGCCUUGGGGGGCACUCCACCCCCCUGGCCGCCGCCCCCCUUGGGAGAUCUCAUCUCCAGGGCCGGCGCCCCCCCCUGGGGGCCUAUAUAAAGGAGGGGGAGGGCAGCCGCACCCUGAAGUCUUGGCGCCUCCCUCUCCCCUGCUACACCUCUCCCUCUCGCAGAAGCUCGGCGAAGCUCUGCCGGAACCCUGCUACAUCCACCACCACGCCGUCAUGCUGCUGGAUCUUCAUCAACCUCUCCUUUCCCCUUGCUGGAUCAAGAAGGAGGAGACGUCAUCCACUCCGUACGUGUGUUGAAUGCGGAGGUGUUGUCCGUUCGGCACUUGGUCAUCAGUGAUUUGGAUCACGACGAGUACGACUCCCUCAACCCCGUUCCCUUGAACACUUCCGCUCGCGAUCUACAAAGGUAUGUAGAUGCACUACUAUCACUCGUUGCUAGAUGAACACAUAGAUGGAUCUUGGUGAAACCGUAGGAAAAUUUUUAUUUUCUGCAACAUUCCCCAACAGUGUACAUAUAGGCGGGGUCUCGAAUGCCUACUCGCGCAUACACACGGCCAGGGCUCGUGUACAUGGCUGGGUCGGAACGGAGAAACAGCGUCGUUGUCGUGUUCAUAGGGAGGCAACGAAAUGCGUCGUGUUCAUGGGAAUGCGUCGUGUUCAUCGGUGUGACGCACUCGAUUCAAUCGUACACUAAUCAUACACGCAAAUGUGUACGAUCAAGAUCAAGGACUCACGGAAAGAUAUCACAACACAACUCUAGACACAAAUUAAAAUAAUACAAGCUUUAUAUUACAAGCUAGGGGCCUCGAGGGCUCGAAUACAUAAGCUCGAAUAUACAAGAGUCAGCGGAAGCAAUAAUAUCUGAGUACAGACAUAAGUUAAAUAAGUUUGCCUUAAGAAGGCCAACACAAAAGCAUCUACGAUCGAAAAGGCAAGGCCUCCUGCCUGGGAGCCUCCUAACUACUCCUGGUUGUCAGCGGCCUCCACGUAGUAGUAGGCACCGGCGGUGGCAUCUGGCUCCUGGGCUCCGACAUCUGGUUGCAUCAACCAGAAAGAAAAAGAAAAGGGGGAAAGGGAGGGUGCAAAGCAACCGUGAGUACUCAUCCAAAGUACUCGCAAACAAGGAUCUACACUACAUAUGCAACAUUAUCAAAGGAGGUUGUAUAUGUGGACUGGGCUGCAGAAAUGCCAAAAUAGAGAGAUGGCCUAAUCCUAUCGAAGACUAGCAUCUUCUGGAAACCACCAUCUUGCAGCAAACAGGAGGGAGUAGAGUAGCCUAAAGUAAAGUAGUAGUAGUGUUAUCAACCUCGGCCAGAGAUCCUUUCUCGAGUCCCUGUGAGAAAGCAAUCCCAGAGCCAUACUAUCCAUUUCUCAUCACAAUCCAAUUCUCAUCACAAGUAUCCAGUUCUAGUUGUAUCGAUUGGGAUACAACUCCAAGUGUCCGUUAUCGUAGGACAGGCUAUCGAUAGAUGUUUUCUUCCCUGCAGGGGUGCACCAACUUACCCACCAUGCUUGAUUAACUCCGGCCGGACACACUUUCCUGGUUCAUACCUGGCCUCGGCCAAACAAUACGCCGCAACCCGACCUAGACUUAACAGAGAGGUCAGCACGCCGGACUAAACCUAUGCCCCCAGGGGUCAUGGGCCAUCUCCCCGGAAACUCCUGCACGUUGCGUACGCGGUCGGUGAGCAGACCUAGCCUCCCUUAUACAAGCGAAGGCGUAACCAGUCCAACCCGGUGCGCGUUGCUCAGUUGCUGACGUCUAUUAAGCUUUGGCUGAUGCAUACGACGCAGAACGCCCAUACUAUGCCCACGUGAUGGUUAGUGCUAUCAGGCCAGAGGCCCCUCGGAUCAAAUAUCCAAACCGUUAGUGUGUUGGUAGUGCGGUCACGAGCAGAGACUCACGAAAGAUGUGACCCCGUCGCCCCGUCUCGAGGACUUGCGGCAAGGGCUAAGAAUGCUCGGCAACGCCUCGUAUUCAACUCUCGGGUACCCUCUAGGUCAACCCGUCUCCACAUCACUCGCGGGUACCCCUCAGGGUCGACCCGCCUUUCCAAGUAAUAGUGUUAAAGUCCAAGUAUCCGUGUGUCCAAACAUCAAGGGGAAAACCCAAGGAAUCACCCCCGGUGAAUUCCACUCAAUGUAAUCAUCAAGGUGAACGUAAGAGGAAUCACCCCCAAGGUUCACACUUGAGGGGUUGCACGACAGAGUCGUAUCGGAAGUGGUUAAGGCGGAAUCACCCUCGAUGACCACGACCGAGUAACUACACUAUAGGGUUAACAUCAGAAGUGAUGUAGAGGUCUCACCCUCGGCACUCGAUAGUAACCCAGUAGUGUCGAGCAACUAAGGGGAAAGUGAUGUGCGAUGUCGGGGCCUGGUCUUUGAUCCCGUUGAUCGGGUCAUCGGUGAUGAAGCAGGGGCAACAAGGACAAGGUGGGGGUCACUGAUGGAUCACUAACCAACCUAUACUAAGCAGUUUAGGAUAAGCAGGUAAGGUAACAAUAAGCAGGUUACAAAAGCAGGCUAUGCAUCAGAAUAGGAGCAAACAAUAACAAUAGCAAAAUCUAAUGCAAGCGUGAGAGAAUGGAAUGGGAGAUAUCAGGAUGAUCAAAGGGGGGGCUUGCCUGGUUGCUCUGGCAAGGAGGGGUCGUCGUCGACGUAGUCGAUCACAGGGGCAACAUCGAUCUCGGUGUCUACCGGAGAGAAAAGGGGGAAGAAACAGUAAAUAUAAAGCAAACAUAGCAUAACAGGACAACAUGCAGAGCUAGACGUGUUCUAACGCGGUGCUACACGAUGCCGGCGAGGGGGGAGUCAACCGGGAAUGUUUUCCCGGUUCCGGACCUGUGUCAGACAGAUGACCGAAGAAGGAAAGUUCCAUGUUCAGCAUGCUAGGGGCAUGUGACAGAUGAACGGAUCGCGUAUCCGGAUUCGUCACGUUUUUCUGAGCAACUUUCAUGUAGAAAACAUUUUCAUCUGGCUUACGGUUUAUUUUCUAUGAAUUUAGUUUAAAGCAUUUUUUUGAAAUUUAUUUAUAUUACGAAUUUAAAUAGUAAAAUACUUUUUACACCUAGCUGCAGCUAGCCACAAUGGCUGACAAAUGGACCAGAAUGACAGUCAAACAGGACCCACAUGUCAUAGACUGGGUUUACCCAGUCAACAGUUUGACUGGUCAAACUAGACAAGGGACCCACAUGUCAUACAUGGUAACUAAACCAGAGGUCAUUUGGUGUAACUAAUUAGAAAGGGGCCCAGCAGUCAGUGUCUAAUUAGACUAGCUAAUUAGAUUAGCCCCUAACCUAAUCCAAUGAAGCACUAAUAGGGCCGGCCUCUUGGACAGAGUCUGUAGCAGCAACGACGCAUCAGGCAAAGCAAGCAAUAACGGCUUCAGGUAGAGCAAGCAGCGACAAAGUAACGCAGCAACAAGCAGCCGCAUGGAGCAGGAGCAGCGGCAAGAGGAGCUGAGGGCCGCUCGGCAGCCGGCUGCAGGCACAGGGGCGCGACCACGGGCGGCUGGGCACGGGCACGGCGGCCGGGCACGCGCAGGGAUUUCAGGCAACAGCAGUUCCAGAGCAGCAGCAGCGCGUGUGGGGCAGCAAACAGCAGCAACAGAAGGGCAGCGGCGGCAGAAGACAUGGCGCUCGGCAAAGCAGGAUGCAGCCGGGCGCGGGCGAGCGCGCGUAGGGCGGCCAAGGUUGCGGCCGGACCCGACCAGAGGCGAGGGAGCGCGGGGCUGAGCGAUGGCGCCGGCCCGGACUUGACGGGGUCGAAGCCACGGGCGCACACACGACGAGCAGGAGGCUAGAGGAGCACCUACGCGAUGUAGCGAAGAUGAUGGGCACACGCGUGUGACCAAUAGGCCACCGGAGUGACGCCGGCGACCAGCCGUGCGGCAUCAAGCUUCGGCCAUGACGGUCCUACGGCCUAGAGGACGAGCUCAUUCAAGAGAGGUGAGGGGGGAGGAAGAGGAGCUCACGGUGAGCCUGUAGGUGUGCAUAGCGUGCUCGGGGAAGGCGCGGAGGCGAUGAAUUCCGGCAAUGGCGUUGGCGGUGCAGAGAAGGGGAACGACUCGAUCCGGUCGAAGCAGAGGCACUCGGCUCGUGUUCUUCAGCGUAGAGGAAGCAGCGGAGGCGGGAGGAUCUCCUGGCGCAAUCCUAGGUGGUGGGGAGGGCAGUGGCCACGGGAUCGACGAGGGCCAUGGCGACGACGGAGUUGGGCACAUCCAGAACGGGAAGAGGGGGUGAGAAGAGGGGCGAAUGGGGGCUAGGGUUUGCAGGGGGGGUCGAGAUGACCUUGUAGGACGCCGGUGCGUCGCUCGAUGGCCGGCACGUGGCCAAUCCGGCCAUGGGCGCCGUGGGCGCGUCCAGCGCGUCUCCUGUGAACAGGAGGUAGGAGGAAACCUCCUGGUGGGCUGGGCUACCUACUGGUCCUUUGGGCCUUAGGUGUACAGUAGCUAGGUUUCUCUCAUUUGUUUAAUUUUUCUGUUUCAGUGUUUUGCACUACUUUUAAAUACCAAUUGAAUUUUGUUCAUCAUGGAACUUGUCGCUUAAUUACUUCGCAAUAUUUUGAAAAGAAACAUAAAGUUUGAGGUCAAUUGGAAUUGUAUAAAUAUUUGCUUAUAUUGAAAAGGCUAUUUUAUUUGCUGUUGGACCACUUUACCAAUCCUAGGGAUUAAUUGGUGGGUCAAAUAAGGUUGGGUUCAACAUGACAAAUGAUCAGGGGAAUUAUAGAAUAAUGUGAACAUUUAGUUUUACUGCUCGAAGAUAUAUUAUUUUGACUUGAAAUUUAAAUUUGAAUUAGACUCUGGUUUUUUAACAAGUGGCAAUUUGGCUUAGUCAAACUUGAUGACAUGGCACCAUUAGGGGAGGUUACUAUAGCAUGAUUUAGGGGUGUUACAAUCGGGAGGCAACGGAACGCGUGGGAGCCAGCCGGCUUGGACGGAACGGGCGAUGGAAACGAGGCAUGGCGUACCGCAGAACGGAGGAAACAGCCUUGUGUUCGACCGACCACGUUCAAAACGGAAUCCUGUUCAUCGGGAGGGGUCUGGCGUACCGCAAAACGGAGGAAACGGACCACCUACGUUCGAAACGGGGGUCCUGUUGAUCGGGAGGGGUGUGGCGUACCGCAAAACGGACGAAACGGACUUGUGUUGGAGCGCUACGGUCCAAACAGGGAUCCUGUUCAUCGGGAGGGGUGUGGCGUACCGCAAAACAGGACUCCAUGGGAUAUUGUUCAUCUCCACCAUCGACCUCCUCCAGCCUCCACGGGCUCCUGUUCAACCACCCCUCCAUGGGCACCCCUUCACCGUCUACUGUUCAUCCAGCCCUCCACAGGGUCGUCCUGUUCAUCCAGAGGCAACGCCACGGGGUCCUGCAUCCACCCCCACCGCUCACUAUUCAUCUACCCCCCUCCCCCCGCAACGCUCACUGUUCAUCCCAAAGGAAGCAUCGAUCGGCUUCAGUUAGCAGCAGUAGCGAAGGAAUCGCUCAAUCGGGUUCAGUUAACAGCCAUCGAUCGAUCGCUCGGGUUCAGUAAUACGUAGCCUGCAGUGCAAUCGCUCGGGUUUAGUUAGAGCCCAACGCCUCGCUCGGGUUCAGUUAGAGCCAACGCCUCGCACACAUGCGCAUACGUGUACGAGAGAAACGCGCAUCGCUCGGCCCCCGACCUCCCACCGUAAUCAGGAACUCCCCGAAAUUUUCCUCGCCCUCACUUCUACCAUGGUUUUUUCCGUCAUGGACGGCCCAAAGAAUGCCAUGUAGCUGCAUCUCCGGCCCGCCCAGGACUAAAAGCCCAUUUUCUGUCAUGAUUUUUUGUCAUUAAAGUAGGAUCCCACCACAUCUAUGAUGAUACCGGGUUUUGUCACAAUUAUCGUCAUACAAGUGUCAUAAGUAUGACAAAAAAAAUCGUUCGGCCCAAAAUGUCACGGAUGUGUCUUUUUUUUGUAGUGUCAAGAGUGCCAUCCUCGGGAGUCCCAUCGCCCGGUGGGGAGGCCGAGGCCUCUGGAGCGCCAUCCUGAGGUCACGGCGCCUCAGUCGGGUGCUGGGUGUCGUGUCGCGCACCCUUGGCCGUACGCUCUUCUCGGACCGACACGAGCGCCGCGCUAGCUGAGUGAGGCGUGGCGGCUGAUAACCCACAAGUGUAGGGGAUCACAACAACUUUCGAGGGUACAAUAUUCAAUCCAAAUUUAUUGAUUCGACACAAGGGGAGCCAAAGAAUAUUCUUAAGUAUUAGCAGUUGAGUUGUCAAUUCAACCACACCUGGAUAACUUAGUAUCUGCAGCAAAGUAUUUAAUAGCAAAGUAGUAUGAUAAUAAAGGUAACGGUGGCAAAAGUAAUAUCUUUGGGUUUUGUAGUGAUUGUAACAAUAGCAACAGAAAAGUAAAUAAGCGACACACAAUAUGUGAAAAGCUCAUAGGCAUUGGAUCAAUGAUGGAUAAUUAUGUCGGAUGUGAUUCCUCAUGUAAUAGCUAUAACAUAGGGUGACACAGAACUAGCUCCAGUUCAUCAAUGUAAUGUAGGCAUGUAUUUCGUAUAUAGUCAUACGUGCUUAUGGAAAAGAACUUGCAUGACAUCUUUUGUCCUACCCUCCCGUGGCAGUAGGGUCCUAGCGGAAACUAAGGGAUAUUAAGGACUCCUUUUAAUAGAGAACCGAAACAAAGCAUUAGCACUUAGUGAAUACAUGAACUCCUCAAACUACGGUCAUCACCGAGAAGUAUCCCGAUUAUUGUCACUUCGGGGUUGUCAGAUCAUAACACAUAAUAGGUGACUAUAGACUUGCAAGAUAGGAUCAAGAACAUACAUAUAUUCAUGAAAACAUAAUAGGUUCAUAUCUGAAAUCAUGGCACUCGGGCCCUAGUGACAAGCAUUAAGCAUAGCAAAGUCAUAGUAACAUCAAUCUCAGAACAUAGUGGAUACUAGGGAUCAAACCCUUACAAAACUAACUUGAUUACAUGGUAAAUCUCAUCCAACCCAUCACCGUCCAGCAAUCCUACGAUGGAAUUACUCACGCACGGUGGUGAGCAUCAUGAAAUUGGUGAUGGAGGAUGGUUGAUGACGACGACGGCGACGAAUCCCCCUCUCAGGAGCCCCGAACGGACUCCAGAUUAGCCCUCCCGAGAGAGAUUAGGGCUUGGCGGCGGCUCCGUAUCGUAAAACGUGAUGAAACUUUCUCUCUGAUUUUUUUCUCCGCGAAACGGAAUAUAUGGAGUUGGAGUUGAGGUCGGUGGAGCCUCAGGGGGCCCACGAGACAGGGGGCGCGCCUAGGGGCGUGGGCACACCUCCCACCCUCGUGGACAGGGUAUGGGCCCCCUGGUCUUGAUUCUUUUGCCAGUAUUUUUUUAUAUUUUCCAAAACGUGCCUCCGUGGAUUUUCAGGACAUUCCGAGAACUUUUAUUUUCUACACAUAAAACAACAUCAUGGCAGUUCUGCUGAAAACAACGUCAGUCCGGGUUAGUUUCAUUCAAAUAAUGCAAGUUAGAGUCCAAAACAAGGGCAAAAGUGUUUGGAAAAGUAGAUACGUUGGAGACGUGUCAACUCCCCCAAGCUUAAACCUUUGCUUGUCCUCAAGCAAUUCAGUUGAUAAACUGAAAGUGAUAAAGAAAAACUUUUACAAACUUUGUUUGCUCUUGUUGUUGUAAACAUGCAAAGUCAGCAUUCAGGUUUCAGCAAAUAUUAUGAACUAACCAUAUUCACAAUAACACCUUGGUCUCACAGUUACUCAUAUCUAUGGCAUAAUCAACUAGUCAGCCAUAAUAAUAAAACUCGGAUGACAACACUUUCUCAAAACAAUCAUAACAUGAUAUAACAAAAUGGUAUCUUGCUAGCCCUUUCUGAGACCACAAAACAUAAAUGCAGAGCACCUUUAAAGAUCAAGGACUGACUAAACAUUGUAAUUCAUGGUAAAAGAGAUCCAGUCAAGUCAUACCCAAUAUAAACCAAUAGUAAUAAAUGCAAAUGACAGUGUGCUCUCCAGCGGGUGCUUUUUAAUAAGAAGGGUGGUGACUCAAUAUAAAAGUAAAUAGAUAGGCCCUUCGCAGAGGGAAGCAGGGAUUUGUAGAGGUGCCAGAGCUCGAUUUUAAAAUAGAAAUUAAAUAAUAUUUUGAGCGGCAUACUUUCACUGUCAACGCAACAACUAUGAGAUGGCGAUAUCUUCCAUACUACAUGCAUUAUAGGCAGUUCCCAAAUAGAAUGGUAAAAGUUUAUACUCCCCCACCACCAACUAGCAUCAAUCCAUGGCUUGCUCUUAACAACGAGUGCCUCCAACUAACAACAACCCUGGGGGAGUUUUGUUUAGUUAUUUUGAUUUGCUUUGAUCUUUUUGGAUCAUGGGACUGGGCAUCCCGGUUACCGGCCCUUUCUCGUGAAUGAGGAGCGGAGUCCACUCCUCUUGAGAAUAACCCACCUAGCAUGGAAGAUAUAGUCAUCCCUAGUUGAAACAUGAGCUGCUCAAGCAUACAAAACAGAAUUUCAUUUGAAGGUUUGGAGUUUGGCACAUACAAAUUUACUUGGAACGGCAGGUAAAUACUGCAUAUAGGAAGGUAUGGUGGACUCAUUGGAAUAACUUUGGGUUUUAAGGAGUUUGGAUGCACAAGCAGUAUUCCCACUUAGUAUAGGUGAAGGCUAGCAAAAGACUGGGAAGCGACCAACUGAGAGAGCGACAACAGUCAUGAACAUGCAUUAAAAUUAAUUCACACCGAGUACAAGCAUGAGUAGGAUAUAAUCUACCAUGAACAUAAAUAUCGUGAAGGCUAUGUUGAUUUGUUUCAACUACAUGCGUGGACAUGUGCCAAGUCAAGUCACUCAAUUCAUUCAAAGGAGGAUACCAUCCCAUCAUACCACAUCAUAAUCAUUCUAAUAGCAUGUUGGCACGCAAGGUAAACCAUUAUAACUCAUAGCUAAUCAAGCAUGGCACAAGCAACUAUAAUCUCUAAAUGUCAUUGCAAAUAUGUUUACUUCAUAAUAAGCUGAACCAGGAACGAUGAACUCAUCAUAUUUACAAAAACAAGAGAGGUCGAGUUCAUACCAGCUUCUCUCAUCUCAAUCAGUCCAUCAUAUAUCAUCAUUAUUGCCUUUCACUUGCACGACCGAACGAUGUGUAUAAUAAUAAUAGUGCACGUGCAUUGGACUAAGCUAGAAUCUGCAAGCAUUCAACUCAAGAGAGAAGACAAGUAAUAUGGGCUCUAAGUUAAAUAAACAAUCAUGCAUAUGAGAGCCACUAAACAUUUUCAAUAUGGUCUUCUACUCUCGACCCCAAAGGAAAGAAAAUAAAACUAUUUACACGGAAAGCUCCCAACAAGUAAGAAAAAGAACGAGAAAUCUUUUUGGGUUUUCAUUUUAAUUUCUACUAUAAGCAUGGAAAUUAAACUAACUAUUUUUUUCUUAAGGUUUAUCAAACACACAAGAAGAAAACUAGAAAAAGAAAAUUAAACUAGCAUGGAUAAUACAAUGAAAGAGUAUGAGCACCGACAACUAGAAUAGUGUGUGAACAUCAAUGUAAAGUCGGUGAGAAAUACGUACUCCCCCAAGCUUAGGCUUUUGGCCUAAGUUGGUCUAAUGCCAAGGGUAGCCUGACUGAUAUCCGUAGUUGUAACUGGGGUCGUACUGAGAUGCAGCAGCAAAUGCCUCCUGAGCUGCGGCAUGCCGGCGAGCCGCCUCCGCUCCCCCCUCGUGUUCAGUUGCUUCCUCCCUGGUAACAAUAUAUCUUCCUUUUGCCUAGUAAUCAAAAAGGAAAGGAGCGGGAAGAGUAACAUGGACAGCGCUACGUCUGUCAAAGAUUAGUCGAUGUUGGAGGAAUUGUUCAUUCCUCUUAAGAAAAUGAUGUUGGACCAUAGCGUCAUAAUCUAAAUAAGCGGGAGGCAAAAUCAUAUCACCCUCUCAUGGGGCUAUACCAAGAUAAUUAGCCACACGGGUCGCAUAAAUUCCUCCAAAUAAAUCUCCAGCUCUACCAUUAUUAUGCAACCUACGUGCAACUAUUUCCCCAAGUUAUAAUCUUUAUAACCUAACACAGCACUCUUGAGGACACAAAGAUCAGGGACACACAUAUGACAGGCUUCAUCUUUACUGUUAAUGCAUCUACCAAUGAAAAGAGCAAAAUAAUGUAUAGCAGGAAAAUGAAUGCUCCCUGUGGUAGCUUGUGCAAUAUCCCUAGAUUCUCCCACAGUAAUACUAGCAAGGAAAUCCCUAAAUUCAGAUUUGUGGAGAUCAUUAAUAUUGCCCCAGUGCGGAAGUUUGCAAGCAGUUGUAAAAUCCUCUGAGUCCAUGGGUAUAGGAUGUAUCGUAGAUAUCAAAUAGGACACUCAGAGAAUUACGUGUACAUUUAUAUUUAAACCUUCGCACAAAUGAAUCAGUCAAUUGAUAGUACCAAGGACACUUAUCUUGUAAGAAGUCCUCCAGAUCGGCAUUACGCACAUACGCGUCAAAUUCCUCCUUAAAGCCUGCUUCGACCAUAAAAUCGUCGGAUGGCAACUCACAAGCUCGUACUUCUGCGUCCCUCGGUAGUUCCUCGUCUUGUUCACGUAUAGCAAUCCUGGGUCCUUUCUUUACUGAGGAACCACCUUGGUACAUUCUCCUAGACACAAUUCUUUCUGUGAAAAAUUUCUGAAAUUUUAGUAACUUCAAAAUAAAAGUGAAUAAAACUAAACAAGAUUGAUAGCAACUACUCCUACAAGUGCCUAGAGCCUAUAUCAUGCAUUAUAAUUACUUGGGACCUCAUAAAUUUAACAUGCAAGCUCAAGAACAUGGUCACCUAUGCAGCAAAAAUUUGCAAUGAAUAAAGCACUAGAACAAAAACUAAUUGGACCAAUGGAGAGUCAUAUACCAAGCAACAAUCUCCCAAAGUAGUUUUGUGAAUGGAGCUUUGAGCAAGGAGAUCGAAAAUCCCAGCAAAAUGAGCUAGAACUCGUGCUUGAGCUGGAUGGGGUUUUUUUGGGAAGAAGAUGGAGUGUGUGGUGCUGGCAUAAGUGGAGGAGGGCCACCAGGGGCCCACGAGACAGGGGGUGCGCCUAGUGGUGGUGGGCGCACCCUCCACUCUCAUGGCCUAGUGCUUGCCCCUCCUGUAGUGUUUUUAGUGCCUAAAAUCCUCAAAUAUUCCAUAAAAAAUCAUACUAAAUUUGCAGGGCAUUUGGAGCACUUUUAUUUUUGGGAUAUUUUUUUAUUGCAUGGAUAAUUCAGAAAACAGACGGAUAAUACUAUUUUUGCUUUAUUUAUUCUAAAUAACAGAAAGUAAAAAGAGGGUACAGAGGGUUGUGCCUUCUAGUUUCAUCCAUCUCAUGGUCAUCAAAAUGAAUCCACUAACAAGGUUGAUCAAGUCUUGUUAACAAAAUCAUUCCGAAUAACACGGAACCAGAGAAAUUUCGAAAUAACACUAAGUUACCUCAACGGGGAUAUGAACAUCCCCAAUAAUAAGAAUAUCAUAUUUUUUCUUGACAGUAGGAAGAGGAAAUUCAAAACCUCCAAUAAUAAUAGUUGGAACUUUUCCAAUAGAGUUGAUGUUAUGAACUUGAGAUUGUUUCCUCGGAAAGUGUACCAUAUGCUCAUUACCAUUAACAUGAAAAGUGAUAUUGCCUUUGUUGCAAUCAAUAACAACCCCUGCAGUAUUCAAAAAGGGUCUACCAAGGAUAAUCGACAUACUAUCGUCCUCGGGAAUAUCAAGAAUAACAAAGUCCGUUAAGAUAGUGACAUUUGCAACCACAACAGGCACAUCCUCACAAAUACCGACAGGUAUAGCAGUUGAUUUAUCAGCCAUUUGCAAAGAUAUUUCAGCAGGUGUCAACUUAUUCAAUUCAAGUCUACGAUAUAAAGAAAGAGGCAUAACACUAACACCGGCUCCAAGAUCACAUAAAGCAGUUCUAACAUAAUUUCUUUUAAUGGAGCAUGGUAUAGUUGGUACCCCGGGGUCUCCAAGUUUCUUUGGUAUUCCACCUUUAAAAGUGUAAUUAGCAAGCAUGGUGGAAAUUUUGGCUUCCGAUAUCUUUCUUUUAUUUGUAACGAUAUCCUUCAUAUACUUAGCAUAAGGAUUUACUUUAAGCAUAUCAGUUAAGCGCAUAUGUAAGAAGAUGGGUCUAAUCAUUUCAGCAAAGCGCUCAAAAUCCUGACCAUCCUUGGUCUUGGAUGGUUUAGGAGGAAAGGGCAUGGGUUUCUGAACCCAUUGUUCUCUUUCUCUACCGUGCUUCCUAGCAACAAAAUCUCUCUUAUCAUAAUGUUGAUUCUCUGAUUGUGGGUUAUCAAGAUCAACAGCAGGUUCAAUUUCUACUUCAUUGUUUUUGCUAGGUUGAGCAUCAACAUGAACAUUAUCACCAGGUUCAUGUUCAUCACCUGAUUGUGUUUCAGCAUCAGAGAUAGAAAUAUCAUUGGGAUUCUUAGGUGUGUCUACAACAGGUUCACUAGAAACAUGCAAAGUCAUAUCGUUUUUCUUUUUCUUCUUUUUAGAAGAACUAAGUGCCUCUAAAUUAUUUCUUUGAGAAUCAUGCUCGAUUCUCUUAGGGUAGCCUUCAGGAUACAAAGGUUCCUGAGUCAUUCUACCGGUUCUAGUAGCCACUCUAACAACAAAGUCAUUUUUAUUAUUUAAUUCAUCAAGCAAAUCAUUUUGAGCUUUAAGUACUUGCUCAGCUUGAGUGGUAACCAUAUAAGCAUAUUUGCUAAUGAGUUUAAGUUCACCUUUAACUCUAGCCAUAAAAUCACUCAAGCGUCCUAUCUCGAAAGCAUUAUUCUUUAAUUCUCUACCAACAUAAGCAUUAAAACUUUCUUGUCUAGCCAUAAAGUCAUCAAAUUCAUCUAAGCAUGGGCUAUGAAAUUUUAGUAGAGGGGAUUUCAACUUUAUCAUAUCUAUAGAGAGAAUUUACCUUUACUACCUGUGUCGGGUUAUCAAGACAAUGUGGUUCUUCAACAGGCGGUAUAUUAAGACCAUGUAUUUCUUCAAUAGGAGGUAAAUUAUUAACAUCUUCAACUUUAAUACCUUUUUCUUUCAUUGAUUUCUUUGCCUCUUGCAUAUCUUCAGGACUGAGAAAUAAAACACCUCUCUUCUUCGGAGUGGGGUUAGGAAUAGGCUCAGGAGUUGGCUCAAUUGGUUCAGGAAUUGCCUCAGGAAUUGGCUCAGGAAGAGUCCAAUUAUUUUCAUUAGUCAACAUAUUAUUCAAUAGUAAUUCAGCUUCAUCGACUGUUCUUUUCCUGAAAACACAAUCAGCACAACUAUCCAAGUAGUCCUUGGAAGCAUCGGUUAGUCCAUUAUAAAAGAUAUCAAGUAUUUCAUUUUUCUUAAGAGGAUGAUCACGCAAAGCAUUAAGUAAUCGGAGAAGCCUCCCCAAGCUUGUGGGAGACUCUCUUCUUUGAUUUGCACAAAAUUAUAUAUUUCCCGCAAGGCAGAUUGUUUCUUAUGAGCAGGGAAAUAUUUAGCAGAGAAGUAAUAAAUCAUAUCCUCGGGACUACGCACACAACCAGGAGCAAGAGAAUUAAACCAAGUCUUAGCAUCACCCUCUAAUGAGAACGGAAAUAUCUUAAGGAUAUAAUAAUAGCGAGACUUCUCAUCAUUAGUAAACAGGGUGGCUAUAUCAUUUAACUUGGUAAGAUGCGCCACAACAGUUUCAGAUUCAAGGCCAUAAAAAGGAUCAGAUUCAACUAAAGUAAUAAUUUUAGGAUCAACGGAGAAUUCAUAAUCCUUAUCAGUAACACAGAUAGGUGAAGUAGCAAAAGUAGGGUCAGGUUUCAUUCUAGCAUUAAGAGACUGUUGCUUCCAUUUAGCUAAUAAUUUCUUAAGAUCAUAUCUAUCUUUACAAGCAAAGAUAGCUCUAGCAGCUUCCUCUUCCAUAACAUAACCCUCAGGAACAAUAGGUAAUUCAUAAUCAGGGGGAGAACUUUGAUCAUCACUAUCAUCAAUAAUAGCAUCUUCAAUAAUUUCAUUCUCUCUAACCUUAGCAAUUCAUCAAUAAAUUCACCUAAUGGCAAAGUGGUAUCACGCACAGAAGUAGUUUCAUCAUAAGUAUCAUGCAUAGCAGAAGUGGCAUCAUCAAUAAUGUGCGACAUAUCAGAAUUCAUAGUAGUAUCAGGUUUAGGUGUCGCAAACUUACUAAUAACAGAAGGAGAAUCUAGUGCAGAGCUAGAUGGAAGUUCCUUACCUCCCCUCCUAGUUGAGGGCAAAAUCUUGGUUCUUUCGUCUUUAAAGUUCCUCAUAGUGAUCAAUAGAUAUAAGUCCCAAGUGACUCAAGGAAUAGAGCUAUGCUCCCCGGCAAUGGCGCCAGAAAUUAGUCUUGAUAACCCACAAAUGUAGGGGAUCGCAACAGCUUUCGAGGGUAAAGUAUUCAACCCAAAUUUAUUGAUUCGACACAAGGGGAGCCAAAGAAUAUUCUUAAGUAUUAGCAGUUGAGUUGUCAAUUCAACCACACUUGGAUAACUUAGUAUCUGCAGCAAAGUAUUUAAUAGCAAAGUAGUAUGAUAAUAAAGGUAACGGUGGCAAAAGUAAUAUCUUUGGGUUUUGUAGUGAUUGUAACAAUAGCAACAGAAAAGUAAAUAAGCGAAGCACAAUAUGUGAAAAGCUCGUAGGCAUUGGAUCAGUGAUGGAUAAUUAUGUCGGAUGCGAUUCCUCAUGUAAUAGCUAUAACAUAGUGUGACACAGAACUAGCUCCAGUUCAUCAAUGUAAUGUAGGCAUGUAUUCCGUAUAUAGUCAUACGUGCUUAUGGAAAAGAACUUGCAUGACAUCUUUUGUCCUACCCUCCCAUGGCAGCAGGGUCCUAGCAGAAACUAAGGGAUAUUAAGGCCUCCUUUUAAUAGAGAACCAGAACAAAGCAUUAGCACUUAGUGAAUACAUGAACUCCUCAAACUACGGUCAUCACCGAGAAGUAUCCCGAUUAUUGUCACUUCGGGGUUGUCGGAUCAUAACACAUAGUAGGUGACUAUAGACUUGCAAGAUAGGAUCAAGAACACACAUAUAUUCAUGAAAACAUAAUAGGUUCAGAUCUGAAAUCAUGACACUCGGGCCCUAGUGACAAGCAUUAAGCAUAGCAAAGUCAUAGCAACAUCAAUCUCAGAACAUAGUGGAUACUAGGGAUCAAACCCUAACAAAACUAGCUUGAUUACAUGGUAAAUCUCAUCCAACCCAUCACCGUCCAGCAAGUCUACGAUGGAAUUACUCACGCAUGGCGGUGAGCAUCAUGAAAUUGGUGAUGGAGGAUGGUUGAUGAUGACGACGGCGAUGAAUCCCCGUCUCCGAAGCCCCGAACGGACUCCAUAUCAGCCCUCCCAAGAGAGAUUAGGGCUUGGCGGCGGCUCCGUAUCGUAGAACGCGGUGAAACUUUCUCUCUGAUUUUUUUCUCCGCGAAACGGAAUAUAUGGAGUUGGAGUUGAGGUCGGUGGAGCCUCAGGGGGCCCACGAGACAGGGAGGCGCGCCCAGGGAGGUGGGCGCGCCCCCACCCUCAUGGACAGGGUGUGGGCCCCUGGUCUUGAUUCUUUCGCCAGUAUUUUUUAUAUUUUCCAAAACGUGUGAUGCAGAGCAUCCCACGGUCAUCCCCAUGUACACUCCGACUACUCUCCAAGCCCCAAGAGGACAUAUGACGAGACCUCGAAUAUACACCAUUUGACACAAGGUGAACUCUCUCCUCUCCGAACUUUCACUUUCUACAUGUGAGACAUGGCUACUACCUCAUGCAUGGACCUUGCAUACACUCAGGUACAACCGAGACGACCAUGAAGGAUCCAAGGACCAAGGCCAAGCAUGGAAGAGGAGAAGGAAGAAGAAGCCGGGAGCAAGCGGUACUACCGCCCAGGCCCAACGGUACUACCGCUUAUCAUCACAAGCGGCACUACCGCUCUACAUCCGCUUCACUCCCGCAAAGUCCGACAAACUUUGGAGAUCGAAGGCUCCAGAGCGGUACUACCACCCAUCAUAGCGGUACUACCGCUUGCGCGCCUCAAGCUGUACUACCGCCCGAAGGACCGGUACUACCGCCCUGUCUGUGCACAGUGUAUUGAGCCGAGCACAUGUACCCCUUCGCCCUCACUUACCUCUUUGUGGCUCUAGACUAUAUAUACUCCUCCACCUCCUCCUAGUUAGGGUUAGCGUUGAUUUAGCUCAAGUUAGAGAUAGAGCUUCGCUCAUCCAUCGGAUCUCCUCCUGGUGAGAGACCGCGGCCUCUUCGGAGAAGAUCCUAUCGGAUUCAAGACCCCCUCUUGGGAAGAUCCCCUUGUGGAUUCAAGACCUCCUCACGGAGAAGAUCGGUUACCUUUGUAUCCUUACCUUUGUUGACUUUGGAUCUCGUGUAUCUCUUUGUGUUCUUUGAUCUAGCACUUGUGUGACUGAUUCCUUGUUGGUUGAGUGUUUUCCCUCGUUCCCCCCCCCCGUGAUUCCCUCGUGUUCUUCCGCGCGUUCUUCGUGUUUCCCCGUAGGAUCCACUCCAAAUGUGAAAGAUCGUCACCAUAGGGUUCCGCCCUCCAUCAUCUUGGUAUCAUGAGCCACGUUGAUCACGUUUUUGGAGCCCCUACCCGUGUUUUCUAGCUUGAUUUUGUUGUUUUCGUCCUAAAUCCGAAAAUCCCCACCAAAAAUAGCCCCAAAUUUUUUUGUGAUUUGUUGGUUUGAUGAUGUUUUGUUGAUUUUGAUCCAUGGAUUUGCUUGGUUUCAAGUGGAUCUAGCAUCUCCCCAAGUUUCACCUCUUUCCAUCCACAAAAUCCAUCGAAUUUUGACCCCUAAAUCAUCCAUUUUCGCCACAAAAUCGCGCAAUGAUUCGAGCAGUCGAAAAAAUCCCGACACGAGCGGUACUACCGCCCUCCAAGCGGUACUACCGCUGAGAACCACAAGCGGUACUACCGCCCAGCGAAUGGUACUACCGCCGGCCCUGUUUCGGCCUGAAACAGUCGAAAAAUCCCGACACGAGCGGCACUACCGCCCAUGCCAGUUUCAGCGUUCCGAGUUUCACCGUUUCGGCCAUAACUAAUUCAUCCGAACUCCGAUUUUGACGUUCUUUAGCUCGUUUUGAAGCUAUUGACAUCCCCCAUCCCACAAAAAUACUACCAACACCAUUUGACUCCAUCAAAUUUUCCGAAAUUUGGAAAGUUUACCUAGGCCUUCCACCAUAUCAUCCGCAUAGCCACCACCGACUUCCGCAACCUAACCCAUUUUGUUCCAUAGCAUUAGUGGUUGCUUUAGUAGUGAUUCGAGUCUCCUAAGGUGUUUCGGCUACUUAGGGACAAUUGCUUCUUCAUCAACCACCACCACCACUUCCGCAUAGACGUGGCCACCAUACAUUUCCACAAUCCAAACUUAACCCAAUUUUGUUUGAGUUGUGGCUUGUGCCUCCUAAGGUGUUUCGGCUACUUAGGGACCAUUGCUUCAACUCUGACACCGUGUAUAUCCCAUCACUCCACUCUCACAUUGCCAAGUGCAAACCACCACUGCUUUUCGCUACCACCAUUUUGACAUUUGACAUUUGAGAUUUUGAGUUCGCGGUUUUUUCCGUUUCCUAAGGUGUUUCGGCUACUUAGGGACGAGACUCCAUCAUCUUGGUAUCGUGAUAUCCCUCCAUUGUAUAUUCCCUUGCAAAUUGCAUUGAUAACCAUCAUAGACCAUAUUUUGCGUCACUUGCCUAUCGAGACUAGCCAUUUGAGUAUUGCCGACAACGUUACUUGUGCACAUUAGUGAUCAUACUUCCCAUGGCAUACAUACCAUAUCAUAUUGGUAUCAUAUCUUGUGCCACAAGUUUGUUCCCGCAUAUACACAAUUGCUAUCUUGGUUUAUACAUUGUGCAAAAGUGGCCAUACAAAAAAAAGAGAAUAAGCUUUUAAGCAAAGAAAAAAAAAGAGUGAGCAAAGAGCUUGUAAGCAAGUUCCAUAGCAUCAUACCACAUUGCAUAUAAGAUUGUCAUAUACGAUCAUCUUGGAUCAUGUUGAGAGAAACACCGGGAACCUUACAUACAUAGCAUACUUGGGAUAGAAGUUUAUCCAUUUUGCAUCUUAUAGGUUGUGCACAAGUGUCGUAUCCGCCUAUUGAGCAAUCGUGCUAGCGUCUCUCUUGAGUUGUGCAACACGAGUGUUUUCCGUGGAUUCCACAUUUUGUGCUCAUUCCUUGGUUGCACGACCCCAUUUAUCUAUCCGUGUGUGUGUUUCCGUGUGCCAUUCUUUGCUAUUGGUCUACUUGUUUCGCUUGCGAAUUUGUGAAUCUCUUUCAACAUUAUUGACUCUUGCUAACAUUUUGCAUUAAAUUUUUGUGUCACUAUCCUCACCGAGCUCCACCCAAAGCUUUACUUGUGUAGGUGUGAGAACCGACAAGAAUUGGUACCAAUAGUACUAUUUCAUUGUCCGCAUUUGAUUGAACUUGAUUCAUUGUCAACAUCGGUCAAGGUACAUUGGUAUAAGUUCUUCUCUUUCUCCCACUCAUAUUUGCUCGAGUCUUGUGAUGGAUAGGCAAGGCAUUUCCUCUUCGGUCCUCGACAACAACGACGGCGUGAACAACUACAUCACCAAAGCGUCUAUCUUCGAUCUACAAAGACAAGUGCAAGGCACACAAUCAAGAUUGCGAGAGCGCAUCGAGAACAUCUCCAUCGACAUUCAUCACUCCGAAGCAAGGAGAAGGGACUACAUCGACAAGAAGCUUGCCGCACAUAAAGAGGAGCAAGAUGCAAGGAUGGAGGAGAUUCGGACGUUGCUCAAGUCUACUUCCCCUUCGUCAUCUUCAAGGCGGCGACAUUCAAGCCACAAGUCUUCGGAGCGCAAACAAGAUGCAAGCGCAAGUCAUCCAAGUCAACAUCUACAUGGCGAGCACCAUCACGUUCAUGAUCAACAUCGUCAUGAAGGGCAAGUCACCUCCAAGCAUCAUGUGCACGACGACAACGAACGCCAAGGAGCUCAAGCACGACAAUGACAUCAUCAUCAUGAAGAUGCUCCACAAGCGCAAAUGCACAAGUCCCAACAAGCCCUACUUCAUGCCAAGUCGAAGCUUCAUAAGCACAAGAGAAGACCGCGAGACGAGCACCACCAAGACGGCGCUACGGCUACAACAACCACUUUGGCAUAUUCGCCAAGUGCUAUCAAGGCAUCUUCGCCUUUGGACAUACGACAUCUUCGCCUACUUCCCACGUGUACGCCUACAUCGACUUCAUCAAGUCCAAGGCGACCACAUACAAGUGAGGGUGACACUUCCAUCUUCGGAAGCCCCCCAAGGAAGAUGGCCGAGCAUGGGAAAUUCCCUUCGGUCAUGGAGACGAGCUAUGAGGUGCCACAUCAUAUGGGCCUCCAACACCAAGACGGUGACAAGACGGUCGAGCAAGGGCCAUCCCCUUCGACCAUGGCUAUGAGCGUGAACCUCUUCAACAACACGAAGACGACGCCCACAUUGGACUCAUACUCCGAGUCAAGCUACGUGACAACGCAUGGAGACAUUUGCACCUACAUCUCUCCGACACCCACAUAUGUCGAGAUGCCCCAAGUGCCAUGUGAGGAGAGCCACCACCCCAUGAGUGACAUGAGUGACUCCACCAUACGUGACAUUGAGAGCAUUUCCUAUGAGAGGAUGAGUGUGACCACCACUAGCCCCACACAUGAGAGCAUGCCACACAUCCUAUGUAAGGUUGAGCGCCAUUUGAGUGACUCCACCAACCAUAUGAGUGAGAGCAUCCUUGAGGGAGUGAGUGAGCCACAACAUUUAGCGAGUGAGAUAGUUGACACGGCAUGUGAGGCCAUUAUGAUUCCUAAUGACUUAACCUCUACUCCUAGUGUGUUUCCUUCUUUGGUGCUAGGCCUCCUACAUGACAACAUGCCUAUCCUUGACGAGUCGAUCCCUCUUUUGGAGACGACGAUGGCCAUGGUGGAUGAUGAUGCACCCCCCACAUGGUUCCAUCAAGAUGAAGAUGACAACGAGUGGAUCUUCAACACCUCACCUACAACACAUGAGCUACGCUCCGAAGGUAACGUAGGUGACAGUGCUCCUCUUGUUCCACUAGUGGGAUCUCUUGACAUCGAUUGCUCCCAUGAUGUUGACCCACCUAUUCACAUGCUUCAUGCUAGUGAGACUUCUUCAUGCCUUGACUUACCUAUUUAUGAUGAAUAUGAUGAGCAUGUUGAUUUGCCUAGUUGUGAUGCUAUGCUCCAUAGGAUAUCAUGUGAAAAUUCUUUUGAUCACAUCAUGUUUGACAACCCAUUGAACUUGUCAUAUGCUAUGAGUGAGAUCUCCCAUAUUGCAUCAUUACAAUCUCAACAUAGUAACUAUGCAUGCCCCAUUAAAAUCAAUCCCAUUUGCACUUAUGGCAUAGAUGAUGAGAUGAUGGUCAUUGGCUUUUGUUUUUCAUGUGAUGAUAUUGCCAUGCUUCCUUUACAUGAUUUGCGCAAUUCAUCUACUAUGCCAUGCCAUGAUCACAUUGUUCCAAAUAUGCUUUGUUUUGGAUGUUGUCAAUAUUCUCCAUGUGAUGUUCCUACUAAUGCUCAUGAGGAGACCCCCAUAGUUUCCUCAUACAUAUUAGGAGAUUUUGAUGCAUCCCAUCCUUUGCAUGAUUUCCAUGUUUGCUUGCACCAUAUGCAUUCCAUGAAUAACAAUGCUCUAGAUAUUUCUCAUGAUGCAUUACAUCGUUUGAGUCUCCAUUAUGACAUACAUCAUAACAAACCUCUCAUGAUGGAUGACAUGUUUCUAUAUCACGCAUCUCAUUUAUUUGAGCAUUGGAUAUUUUGUGCUAACCGACACAUGCAUGUGCGCAUCAUGAUGGAUGAUGUGUACAUAUACCAUGCACACACAAUUUUCUCUUUGUCUUUGUUUUGUGUAGGUACUCAUGUAUACUCGUCAACCUCUCAAUCCCAAGAGUUUACGAAACGAGCUCUUGAGGGCAACGAUGCUUUGGGAUCCCGUGGACUAUCCUUACCACUGUUCCAUUCGCGCAAGGAAUACGCGCAUCUCUUCUACUUGGCUCUCACACGGCUAUGGGCCAUUUACCACUUGUCACCUUAUGCCCAUACUAUCGUGUUCACUUUGCAUGUUAUACUUGUUUCUAUGCCUUUGCCAUGCAAUUGUGACCCUUGCUUGCAUUUACCCAUGAUGCACCAUUAUGAUACUCCUAUGUGUAUUUGCAUGCUUGGUGGAGAUCCUUGUUGCUUUUGCCAUGUUUAUCAUGUGCCCCAUGCUAUUGAUGCUUGUUGUGUUGGUAGAGUCAUGAUGCCCCCAUUGCUAUUUACAUAUGGUCUCUCGCCAAUACAUUCAUGCUAUUUUCCUCACAUCUUGCUUUCAUGCUUGUGAUAUGACAUGUGAACUAUUCAUGCCCAUUAUUUGCACCAAUGACAUGCUUGCCAUGAUUCCUCCUAGUAUGUUGCAUCUUCGCACUAUUAGCUUGCUUGACUUGAUUGAUAUGAUUUCUUGCUAUGUUGCAUCACCCAUGUUCCAAUAUUACUUGCUUUCUUGGGUUGAUGACAUAUAUGCUCAUGCCUCUCACAUGAUAUAUCUUGAUCAUUGUCUCUUGUGUCCAUUAGUUGCCUCUUUCAUAUCCACUUGUAUUGAGUGCAACCAUACUACGCUUAUUGAUUUCGGAGAUUUUGACACCUUACUUGUGAUGCAUACUUCUUUCCUUGAGCCUCUUGUAUUUGGUUGUUCUUGCAUCAUAUGCCUCCACACUAUGAAAUGCUCCCUUGUACCUUCUUAUGAUGAGCAUGAUGCAUACACUUGUUCGGUAUAUUACCACUCGAAUGAUAGGUUUUGCAUGUCAGCUAACCUCAUUUGUUUUUCCGAGUGUUUGUCAUGUUCUUUCGUUUUGAAGGAUUCACAAGGCAUUACCGUCAUGAGACAUAUUGGUUAUGUGAAGGCAUACACGAUGUGCGACACCAACAUUUUCGACAUCCUCAUAAAGGUGAACUCCUCUUUGAGCCAUCCUCAAAUACGCAUAUUGGAUGGGUCACUCUUUCAUUGUUGUUUCCUUCUUGUUGUCUACAUGAUACAUCUCGUGAACGGAGGAGCGACAUUGGAGAUUGGCUACAUGGACCUUAACAUUGAGGAGCGAUCGCACAUAUUGGAUGCACCUUCGGUCUUCCACUCAUGCCUCGACAUCGAGCUUUGGUACACCAACACCUCCAUAUUUGUUGAUUGUGCUCAUACAUGUCAUGCUCGAUGGACAUAUCAUACUCACCACAAGUUUGCACGCUGUGCAUGGAUUGACUCACAUUAUGCUUGUCUUGUUGCAUCUAUUUCCAUGGCAUCCAUGAUAUAUGAGCUUGUGCAUUUCCUUAGCAAACUUGUUGUGAUCUUCCUUGAUGGCAUAUUCAUACAUAAUGAUCAUAUUGUCGACCAUCAACUGCAUGAUAAUAUCCACAUGUUGAGCAUCCAUUGCCAUGUUCAUGCAUUUGAUAAACCAUCCCAUUAUGACAUCAUUUUGCAUCGUGGUUGCAUUGCUCAUAUUCAUAACACAUUUGUGUACACAGUGAUUGCUUAUCCUCCCAUGAAUGCUUUGCAUCUCAUUCUAGAUCAACUUGAUAAGCUUCAUGCGCUUUGUCACGACCAAUCUUGCCGCACGGACUCAUUCUUACAUGAUGGACACUUUGUGUGCGCUAACCAUUGUAUUUCCGAGUGUUGCUUGUGUUUGCUCUUUUUGCAUGUCUAUCACUCCGGCGACACCUUGGACUACUUGGAUUGCGCCGUGUCUUCAACUUCUUCCAACUACAAGUCCGUCUACGACAACCGUUUCCAUGGUGAUGAGGAUCACGAUCCGAGGUCGGAUCUUUCCCAAGGGGGGGGGGCAGAUGAUGCGGAGCAUCCCACGGUCAUCCCCAUGUACACUCCGACUACUCUCCAAGCCCCAAGAGGACAUAAGACGAGACCUCUAAUAUACACCAUUGGACACAAGGUGAACUCUCUCCUCUCCGAACCUUCACUUUCUACAUGUGAGACAUGGCUACUACCUCAUGCAUGGACCUUGCAUACACUCAGGCACAACCAAGAUGACCAUGGAGGAUCCAAGGACCAAGGCCAAGCAUGGAAGAGGAGAAGGAAGAAGAAGCCGGGAGCAAGCGGUACUACCGCCCAGGCCCAGUGGUACUACCGCUUAUCAUCACAAGCGGCACUACCGCUCCACAUCCGCUUCACUCCCGCAAAGUCCGACAAACUUCGGAGAUCGAAUGGCUCCAGAGCGGUACUACCGCCCAUCAUAGCGGUACUACCGCUUGCACGCCUCAAGCGGUACUACCGCCCGAAGGACCGGUACUACCGCCCUGUCUGUGCACAGUGUAUAGGGCCGAGCCCAUGUACCCCUUCGCCCUCACUUACCCCUUCGUGGCUCUAGACUAUAUAUACUCCUCCACCUCCUCCUAGUUAGGGUUAGCAUUGAUUUAGCUCAAGUUAGAGAUAGAGCUUCGCUCAUCCAUCGGAUCUCCUCCUCGUGAGAGACCGCGGCCUCUUCGGAGAAGAUCCUAUCGGAUUCAAGACCCCCUCGUGGGAAGAUCCCCUUGUGGAUUCAAGACCUCCUCACGGAGAAGAUCGGUUACCUUUGUAUCCUUACCUUUGUUGACUUUGGAUCUCGUGUAUCUCUUUGUGUUCUUUGAUCUAGCACUUGUGUGACCGAUUCCUUGUUGGUUGAGUGUUUUCCCUCGUUCCUCCCCGUGAUUCCCUCGUGUUCUUCCGUGCGUUCUUCGUGUUUCCCCAUAGGAUCCACUCCAAACGUGAAAGAUCGUCACCAUAGGGUUCCGCCCUCCAUCAACGUGCCUCUGUGGAUUUUCAGGACAUUCCGAGAACUUUUGUUUUCUACACAUAAAAACAACAUCAUGGCAGUUCUGCUGAAAACAGCGUCAGUCUGGGUUAGUUUCAUUCAAAUCAUGCAAGUUAGAGUCCAAAACAAGGGCAAAAGUGUUUGGAAAAGUAGAUAUGUUGGAGACGUAUCAGCGGCCAGGUAAAGCACUAAGGGUUCUAGAGGGCGAGGCGCUACCAUCAUCGGCGGGCUGGUGAGGUGCUUCUUGAGGUCUUGGAAAGCGGCUUCGACUUCCAGAGUCCACUCAAAUGGGCCCUUCUUCUUCAUCAGCUUGAAGAACGGAAGGGCGCAUUCGCCCAACUUGGAGAUGAAGCGCCCCAGCGAGGUUACGCAGCCCGCCAGCUUCUGCAUCUCUUCGACGGUUUGCGGCGGGCUCAUCUUCUCUAUCGCCUUGAUCUUCUAUGGGUUGGCUUUGAUCCCUCUGUGCGACACCAGGACACCCAGCAGCUUGCUAGACGGCAUGCCGAACACGCACUUCUCCGGGUUGAGCCGCAAGGUUGAUACGUCUCCAACGUAUCUAUAAUUUUUGAUUGCUCCAUGCUACUUUAUCUACUGUUUUAGGCAAUAUUGGGCUUUAUUAUCCACUUUUAUAUUAUUUUUGGGACUAACCUAUUAACCGGAGGCCUAACCCAGAUUUGCUGUUUUAUGCCUAUUUCAGUGUUUCGAGGAAAAGGAAUAUCAGAGGGAGUCAAAACGGAACGAAAUCAACUGGAGAAGUUAUUUUUGGAAGGAAACCCACCUCAUGGACUUGGACCCCAUGUCAGAAGAUACGGGUGGUGCUGACGAGGGUGGGGGCGCGCCCUCCCCCCUGGGCGCGCCCCCCUGCCUCGUGGGGCCCCCGUAGCUCCACCGACGUUCUCCUUUCACCCAUAUAUACCUACGUACCCUAAAACUUCCAGAACAGAAGAUAGAUCGGGAGUUCCGCCGCUGCAAGCCUCUGUAGCCACCAAAAACCAAUCGGUACCAUGUUCCGACACCCUGCCGGAGGGGGAUCCCAUCACCGGAGGCCAUCUUCAUCAUCCGGCGCUAUCCAUGACGAGGAGGGAGUAGUUCACCCUCGGGGCUAAGGGUAUGUACCAGUAGCGAUGUGUUUGAUCUCUCUCUCUCUCUCGUGUUCUCUCUCGUGUUCCUCUAUGGCAUGAUCUUGAUGUAUCCUGAGCUUUGCUAUUGUAGUUGGAUCUUAUGAUGUUUCUCCCCCUCUACUCUCUUGUGAUGAAUUGAGUUUCCCCUUUGAAGUUAUCUUAUCGGAUUGAGUCUUUUAUGAACACUUGAUGUAUGUCUUGCGUGGGAUAACCGUGGUGACAAUGGGUUAUUCUAUUCAUCCACUUGAUGUAUGUUUUGGUGAUCAACUUGCGGGUUUCGUGGCAUUGGGAACCUAUGCAUAGGGGUUGGCACACGUUCUCGACUCUCCGGUAGUAGCUUUGGGGCACUCUUUGAAGUACUUUUAUAUUGGUUGGAUGAAUCUGAGAUUGUGUGAUGCAUAUCGUAUAAUCAUGCCCACGGAUACUUGAGGUGACAAUGGAGUAUCUAGGUGACAUUAGGGUUUUGGUUGAUUUGUGUCUUAAGGUGUUAUUCCAGUACGAACUCUUUUAUAGAUCGAUCCGAAAGAAUAGCUUUGUGGUGGUUUCGUACCCGACCAUAAUCUCUACGUUUGUUCUCCGCUAUUAGUGGCUUUGGAGUGACUCUUUGUUGCAUGUUGAGGGCUUGUCAUAUGUUGUAUCUAUGUUAUUAUUGUUGAGAGAACUUGCACUAGUGAAAGUAUGAACCCUAGGCCUUGUUUCCUACCAUUGCAAUACCGUUUAUGCUCACUUUUACCGCUCGCUACCUUGCUGUUUUUAUUAUUUCAGAUUACAAAAACCUAUAUCUACUAUCUAUUUUGCACUUGUAUCUUUAUCUCUUCGCCGAACUAGUGCACCUAUACAAUUUACCAUUGUAUUGGGUGUGUUGGGGACACAAGAGACUCUUUGUUAUUUGGUUGGAGGGUUGCUUGAGAGAGACCAUCUUCAUCCUAUGCCUCCUACGGAUUGAUAAACCUUAGGUCAUCCACUUGAGGGAAAAUUGCUACUGUCCUACAAACCUGUGCACUUGCAGGCCCAACAACGUCUACAAGAAGAAGGUUGUGUAGUAGACAUCAAGCUCUUUUCUGGCGCCGUUGUUGGGGAGGCUAGGUAAGUGAAGGUAUAUCUUUAGAUCUUGCAAUUGAAUCUUUUUAUUUCUUGUUUUAGCACUAGUUUAUUUUAUAAAAGAAAACUACAAAAAAAAUGGAGUUGAGUUUAUCUCAUACGCUUCACCUUUUUAAUAUCUUUCGUGAGUAUGAUGGAAAGGAUAAUUGUGCUCAAGUACUAGAAGAAGAAAUCUAUAGAAUGUUUUUAUAUGAUGAGCAUGAUUGCAAUGUUGUUAGUAUGAAUUCCUUGAAUAUCCAUGAUGCUAAUGAUAUGCAAAGCCACAAGCUUGGGGAAGCUGUGUUUGAUGGAUAUGAUAUAUUUUGUCCCCCAAGCUUUGAUGAGCAAAUUUACCAUGAUGAAAGCAUGCCUCCUAUUUAUGAUGAUUAUUGUGAUGAUACGUAUGCUAUAAAGAAGAAGUUUGCUUAUGUGGACAGUAGAAAAUUUUCUAUACUUGUAAAUCAUGAAAAGAAUGCUUUAGGUGCUGGUUAUAUUGUUGAAUUCAUUCAUGAUGCUACUGAAAAUUAUUAUGAUGGAGGAACAUAUGCUUGUAGGAAUUGCAAUAACGUCAAGUUUCCUCUCUAUGUGCUUAAAAUCUUGAAGUUAUGCUUGUUGUGCCUUCCUAUGCUAGUUGAUUAUUGUUCUCCUAAGUUGUUUGCUCACAAAAUCCCUAUGCAUAGGAAGUGGGUUAGACUUAAAUGUGCUAGUCAUAUGCUUCAUGAUGCUCCCGUUAUGUUUCAAUUCUUAUCUUUUAUGUGAGCAUCAUUGUCAUCAUCAUGCCUAGCUUGAAAAGGCAUUAAAGAAAAGCGCUUGUUGGAAGACAACCCAAUAUUUAUCCUUACUGUUUUUCUGUGUCCACAUGACUAUGCUACUUUAGUAAUCAUGUUUUAUAGCUUUUGUUUCAAUAAAGUGCCAAGUAGAACCUUUGGGAAGACUUGGGUGAAGUUUAUAUGAUUUUGCUGUGAAAAACAGAAACUUUAGCGCUCACGAGAUUAGCUGCCAUUUUUUACUGGAGAGUGAUUUUAGGUUGAUUAUUUUUGCAGAUGAUUAAUAGACAAAUUUCUCAGGUCCAGCAAUUUAUUUCAUAAUUUUUGGGGUUGCAGAAUUAUACGUUUUAUACAGAUUACUACAGACUAUUCUGUUUUUGACAGAUUCUGUUUUCUAUGUGUUGUUUGCUUAUUUUGAUGCAUCUAUGAGUAGUAUCGGAGGGUAUGAAACAUAGAUAAGUUGGAUUACAGUAGAUAUUACAUCAAUAUAAAUUUAGAAUGAGUUCAUUACAGUAUCUAAGUGGUGGUUUUAUUUUCUUAUACUAACGGAGCUUACGAGUUUUGUGUUGAAGUUUUGUGUGGUUGAAGUUUUCAAGUUUUGGGUAAAGAUUCGAUGGACUAUGGAAUAAGGAGUGGCAAGAGACUAAUCUUGGGGAUUCCCAAGGCACCCCAAGGUAAUAUUCAAGGACAACCAAGCAACUAAUCUUGGGGAUGCCCCGGAAGGCAUCCCCUCUUUCGUCUUCGUUCAUCGGUAACUUUACUUGGAGCUAUAUUUUUAUUCACCACAUGAUAUGUGUUUUGCUUGGAGCGUCAAUUUCUUUUGUUAGUUUUUGCUUGAUGUUAGUUAGAAUAGUGUUUUGCCUCUUUAGUUUCAAUAAAAAGGUCAAGGAUAGCCUUUGCCAUGCUUAUUUUGCUUGUCUGCAUGUUGCUGUUUGAAAAUACAAAGUUUACCGCUGUUGCAAAAAUUCCCUAGAAAAGUCAGAGCAUGGUCUAGCGUUGAAUCUUUUUGCAUAUUGAGCUCUGAUAAAUUUAUUACAGUGGAAAUUUUAGUUCAUAAUUUCUGGAGUCAGGGAAGUAUUGAUACUCUUGCAUUCUUUACAGACUGUACUGUUUUGACAGAUUGCUGUUAUGGUUGCAUUGUUUGCAUAUGUUUGCUUGUUUAAUGAUUCUAUUUGAUGAUAGGAGUAUUAAAUAUGCAGAGGAAUUUAGUAUGCAAUGUUGAAUAAUAACUUAAGUGAUUUGUUACAGUAGAAAAUGAUAAGGUUUUGCAUUGGUUUAUACUAACCUAUCUCACGAGUUCUUGUUGAGUUUGUUGUGAAUGAAGCUUUUGAUAAAAAGAGAAACCAUGAUAUGAGAGGAAUUAAGGAGACAAAAAAGUUCAAGCUUGGGGAUGCCCAAGGCACCCCAAGAUAAUAUUUCAAGAAGUCUCAAGCAUCUAAGCUUGGGGAUGCCCCGGUAGGCAUCCCACCUUUCUUCUUCAACAACUAUCGGUUAGUAUCGGUUGAGCCUAAGUUUUUGCUUCUUCACAUGAGUUGUGCUAUCCUUGCAUUGUAGUUUCCUUUAGCUUUGCUUGCUGUUUGAAUGAAUUACCAAGAUCUGAAUUCUUUAUUGAGAGAGAGCCAUACAUGAAUUGAAAUUUUAUAGAAUACUCUAUGUGCUUCACUUAUACCUUUUGAGCUUGAUAGUUUGCUCAUAGUGCUUCACUUAUAUCUUUUGAGCGUGAUAAUUUUUGCUCUAGUGCUUCACUUAUAUCUUUUAGAGCAUGGUGGUAGUUUUAUUUUGAAGAAAUAGAUGAACUCUCAUGCUUCACUUAUAUUAUUUUGAGAGUCAUUAAUAGCAUGGUAGUUUUCUUAAUGUUAAUAUACUUGGUAUUCAAGAUAUGUGAACUUUUCUUUUGAGUGAAUUGAAUACUAAGAUAAGUUUGAUGCUUGAUAAUUGUUUUGAGAUAUGGAGGUGAUAAUAUCAAAGUGAUGCUAGUUGGGUGAUUACGAAUUUAAAGAAUGCUUGUGUUGAAGUUUGUGAUUUUCGUAGCAUGCACGUAUGGUGAACCGCUUUGUGAUGAAGUUGGAGCACAAUUUUAUUUAUUGAUUGUCUUCCUUAUGAGUGGCGGUCGGGGACGAGCGAUGGUCUUUUCCUACCAAUCUAUCCCCCUAGGAGAAUGCCCGUAGUGCUUUGGUUUUUGAUGACUUCUAAAUUUUUGCAACAAGUGCAUGAGUUAUUUUGAUUAAUGUUGAGUCCAUGGAUUAUACGCACCCUUUCACCCUUCCAUUAUUGCUAGCCUCUCUUGUGCCGUGCAACUUUCGCCGGUACCAUACACCCACCAUAUACCUUCCUCAAAACAGCCACCAUACCUACCUAUCAUGGCAUUUCCAUAGCCAUUCCGAGAUAUAUUGCCAUGCAACUUUCCACCGUUCCGUUUAUUAUGACACGCUCCAUCAUUGUCAUAUUGCUAGAAUGAUCAUGUAGUGGACAUCGUAUUUGUGGCAAAGCCACUAUUCAUAAUUCUUUCAUACAUGUCACUCAUGAUUCAUUGCAUAUCCCGGUACACCACCGGAGGCAUUCAUAUAGAGUCAUACUUUGUUCUAAGUAUCGAGUUGUAAUUGUUGAGUUGUAAGAAAAAUAAAAGUGUGAUGAUCAUCAUUAUUAGAGCAUUGUCCCAGUGAGGAAAGGAUGACGGAGACUAUGAUUUCCCCAUAAGUCGGGAUGAGACUCCGGACGAAAAAAUUAAAAGAGGCCAAAGAAUCCCAAAUAAAAAAAGAGGCCAUAAAAAAGAAGAAGAGAAAAGGCUCAAAUAAAAAAAUACAAAAUAAAAAAAUGAGAGAAAAAGAGAGAAGGGACAAUGCUACUAUCCUUUUACCACACUUGUGCUUCAAAGUAGCACCAUGGUCUUCAUGAUAGAGAGUCUCAUGUGUUGUCACUUUCAUAUACUAGUGGGACUUUUUCAUUAUAGAACUUGGCUUGUAUAUUCCAAUGAUGGGCUUCCUCAAAAGUGCCCUAGGUCUUCGUGAGCAAGCGAGUUGGAUGCACACCCUCUUAGUUUCUUUUGUUGAGCUUUCAUAUACUUAUAGCUCUAGUGCAUCCGUUGCAUGGCAAUCCCUACUCACUCACAUUGAUAUCUAUUGAUGGGCAUCUCCAUAGCCCGUUGAUACGCCUAGUUGAUGUGAGACUAUCUUCUCCUUUUUGUCUUCUCCACAACCACCAUUCUAUUCCACCUAUAGUGAUAUGUCCAUGGCUCACGCUCAUGUAUUGCGUGAAAGUUGAAAAAGUUUGAGAUUACUAAAGUAUGAAACAAUUGCUUGGCUUGUCAUCGGGGUUGUGCAUGAUUAAAUACUUUGUGUGAUGAAGAUAGAGCAACAGCCAGACUAUAUGAUUUUGUAGGGAUAACUUUCUUUAGCCAUGUUUUUUUGAGAAGACAUGAUUGCUUAGUUAGUAUGCUUGAAGUAUUAUUAUUUUUAUGUCAAUAUGAACUUUUGUCUUGAAUCUUUCGGAUCUGAAUAUUCAGAUCACAAUUAAGAAGAUUUACAUUGAAAUUAUGCCAAAGUAUCACUCUGCAUCAAAAAUUCUUUUUUAUCAUUUACCUACUUGAGGACGAGCAGGAAUUAAGCUUGGGGAUGCUUGAUACGUCUCCAACGUAUCUAUAAUUUCUGAUUGCUCCAUGCUACUUGAUCUACUAUUUUAGGCAAUAUUGGGAUUUAUUAUCCACUUUUAUAUUAUUUUUGGGACUAACCUAUUAACCGGAGGCCCAGCCCAGAUUUGCUGUUUUAUGCCUAUUUCAGUGUUUCGAGGAAAAGGAAUAUCAGACAGAGUCAAAACGGAACGAAAUCAACUGGAGAAGUUAUUUUUGGAAGGAAACCCACCUCAUGGACUUGGACCCCACGUCAGAAGAUACGGGAGGUGCUCACGAGGGUGGGGGCGCGCCCUCCCCCCCUAGGCGCGCCCCCGUGCCUUGUGGGGCCCCCGUAGCUCCACCGACGUUCUCCUUUCACCCAUAUAUACCUACGUACCCUAAAACUUCCAGAACAGAAGAUAGAUCGGGAGUUCCGCCGCCGCAAGCCUCUGUAGACACCAAAAACCAAUCAGGACCCUGUUCCGGCACCCUGCCGGAGGGGGAUCCCAUCACCGGAGGCCAUAUUCAUCAUCCCGGCACUAUCCAUGACGAGGAGGGAGUAGUUCACCCUCGGGGCUGAGGGUAUGUACCAGUAGUUAUGUGUUUGAUCUCUCUCUCUCUCUCUCGUGUUCUCUCUCAUGUUCCUCUAUGGCACGAUCUUGAUGUAUCCCGAGCUUUGCUAUUGUAGUUGGAUCUUAUGAUGUUUCUUCCCCUCUACUCUCUUGUGAUGAAUUGAGUUUCCCCUUUGAAGUUAUCUUAUCGGAUUGAGUCUUUUAUGAACACUUGAUGUAUGUCUUGCGUGGGAUAACCAUGGUGACAAUGGGUUAUUCUAUUGAUCCACUUGAUGUAUGUUUUGGUGAUCAACUUGCGGGUUUCAUGACAUUGGGAACCUAUGCAUAGGGGUUGGCACACGUUCUUGACUCUCCGGUAGUAGCUUUGGGGCACUCUUUGAAGUACUUUUAUGUUGGUUGGAUGAAUCUAAGAUUGUGUGAUGCAUAUCAUAUAAUCAUGCCCACAGAUACUUGAGGUGACAAUGGAGUAUCUAGGUGACAUUAGGGUUUUGGUUGAUUUGUGUCUUAAGGUGUUAUUCUAGUACGAACUCUUUUAUAGAUCGAUCUGAAAGAAUAGCUUUGUGGUGGUUUCGUACCCGACCAUAAUCUCUACGUUUGUUCUCCGCUAUUAGUGGCUUUGGAGUGACUCUUUGUUGCAUGUUGAGGGCUUGUCAUAUGUUCUAUCUAUGUUAUUAUUGUUGAGAGAACUUGCACUAGUGAAAGUAUGAACCCUAGGCCUUGUUUCCUACCAUUGCAAUACCGUUUACGCUCACUUUUACUGCUCGCUACCUUGCUGUUUUUAUUAUUUCAGAUUACAAAAACCUAUAUCUACUAUCUAUUUUGCACUUGUAUCUUCAUCUCUUCGCCAAACUAGUGCACCUAUACAAUUUACCAUUGUAUUGGGUGUGUUGGGGACACAAGAGACUCUUUGUUAUUUGGUUGCAGGGUUUCUUGAGAGAGACCAUCUUCAUCCUACGCAUCCUACGGAUUGAUAAACCUUAGGUCGUACACUUGAGGGAAAUUUGCUACUGUCUUACAAACCUGUGCACUUGCAGGCCCAACAACGUCUACAAGAAGAAGGUUGUGUAGUAGACAUCAAAGGUCACCUUGCACAGGUUGGAAAAUGUCUCCUCCAGAUCUUUGACAAGGGUUCUUGCCACCCAAGAUUUGACCACUAUGUCAUCGACACAUGCCUCGGCGUUCCUCCCGAGCUGCUGGCCCAAAGCGAUGUGCAUCAGUCGCUGGAAGGUUUCUCCGGCAUUGCGCAACCCGAACGGCAUGCAUGUGUAGCAGUACACCCCGCACGGGGCCAGGAAAGCCGUCUUCUCGACAUCCUGCAUCGCCAUCUUGAUCUGAUGAUAGCCUGAGAAGGCGUCCAAGAAGCAUAACAAAUCGUACUCGGCGAUGGAGUCGACGAUCUGGUCGAUGUGCGGAAGGGGGAAAGGUUCUUGGGGACAAGCUUUGUUGAGGAUCAUAAAAUCGACGCACAUGCGCUCCUUCCCGCCCUUCUUGGGGAUGAUAACUGUGUUCGCCAAUGAAUCUGGAUGCCGCACCUCCCGUAUGACGUCGGCCUCCUAUAGCUUGUGACUCUCCUGGAUGAUGAAUGAAUGCUUCUCCGGGGCUUGUCGCCUUGCCUUCUGCUUCACGGGGCGUGCGUUGGGGCACACCACGAGGUGGUGCUCGAUCACCCUGCGCGGAAUGCCAACCAGGUCCGUCGCCUCCCACGCAAACACAUUCUUGUUUGCGCGUAGGAAGCUGACCAGCGCCUCUUCCUGGUCCAGGGGGAGGCCGACACCUAUGGUGAAGGUAACGCCUCAACCCCUAUCCUCGUUGACCGGCACCUGCUUCAUCUCNNNNNNNNNNNNNNNNNNNNNNNNNNNNNNNNNNNNNNNNNNNNNNNNNNNNNNNNNNNNNNNNNNNNNNNNNNNNNNNNNNNNNNNNNNNNNNNNNNNNNNNNNNNNNNNNNNNNNNNNNNNNNNNNNNNNNNNNNNNNNNNNNNNNNNNNNNNNNNNNNNNNNNNNNNNNNNNNNNNNNNNNNNNNNNNNNNNNNNNNNNNNNNNNNNNNNNNNNNNNNNNNNNNNNNNNNNNNNNNNNNNNNNNNNNNNNNNNNNNNNNNNNNNNNNNNNNNNNNNNNNNNNNNNNNNNNNNNNNNNNNNNNNNNNNNNNNNNNNNNNNGGCCGCUCGGCAGCCGCGGCUUUGAAAGUGAGCCUGAGGGCUGCGAGCACUUCCUUGUUGUCCCCUGCCACGGUAAGGACACCACCACUUCUUGGCAUCUUCAUGAUGUUGUAGCCGGGGUGAGUUGCCACCAUGAACUUGGCACGGGCCAGGUACUUGAGAAUGGCGUUGUACGGGAGCCCAUUGCGGGCGACAUCAAAGUCAAUGAGCUCGGUACGGUAGUUGCUGCACGUUUCGAAGGUGACGGGGAGGCGGAUCUGCCCCCAAGGGAUAGGUGGAACUGCCGCCGACCCCAGAGAAGGGCUUGGUCGGGAGGAGACGGCUGUGAGGCACAUGGAGCAGGCCAAAUGCCUCCAUAGUGAGGACGUUGAGGCCGACGCCGCCGUCGAUGAGGGUCCUGGUGACCGCUAAGUUGCAGAUAGUGGGGGUGCAAAGCAUGGGAAGCGCGCCUGUGCCGGCCGUGGUCUUGGGAUGAUCCCUGGAGUUGAAGGUGAGGUCGGCCCUGGGUGCCGCCCAACCCAAAGCCCCCCCCUGCCUGGCGAAAGAACUGCUUGAUGUGGCGGUCUGAGGCCGGCGCUUGUGACCCGCUGAGGAUGGCCGCGACGGCGUGGGGCACCGGCAUUGCGAAGCACACGAACAUGCCGCGCAUCUCUUCCUAGGAGGCCACGAGGACUCUGGUAGGUUGAGGAACCAGGCGCGGGGCACACCCGUAAGAGCCAUAGGGAGCCAAUUUUCCAUGACCUUGUCGUCGCCGUCGGCCACCCAGAUGGCUUCCGCAUACACCUGGAUGAAUUCCGCGGGGUCCACCACGCCAUCAUAUCGCGACGGCAACUCCGACUUGAACUUCGGCGGCCAUUGCACCCGCCGUAGGGCGGGGGAGAAAGCUCGGUGGCCCCCGGUGCCUCCAAAUGUGCCCGGCGGCCCAGCGAGUAGAGGGACGCCUAUCAUGGGAACAAAGCGGCGAGGGCGGAGCGCGGCUGGCGAGGAGGCAACCCUUCGACACGUUCCCUACCUGGCGCACCAAACGUCGGAUUCAGGGCUCCGCGGACCCAAGAAAAGUUCGAACUUUGGGGCGUGUGCGAAGAACUGAACCUCUCAUGCCAAUGGAUGCACCGCCCUCAUGGCCUAGCUUGAUUAAUGGGAAAGGGAAGAGACACGGCAGUUUACCCAGGUUCGGGCCACCUUGCGGUGUAAGACCCUACUCCUUCUUUGGGGUGGAUUGGCCUCACGAGGGGCUGAGGAAGAACUAGUACAAAAGAAGAAGAACCUCAAGAGGUCAGUUCUUGCAUGGGUGCGAACUAGUGAGGGUUCAGGUUUCGGAUACCGGAUCCCUCGUACGGUGGUGGCUAAGCUAUAGUUAUAUUGGCCUCGGUCCUCUUCCUCCAAAACAAAGGCGGGAAGGGAUCCCACAAUGGCCAAGUUUGAAGGGGGACAAGUAGUACAUCUUAUCCUGAUGAAAGGUGGUCUUCGCCUGCAAGCUUCUGGUCGUGAUGCCUUGGUGGGCCCGGUGAUGACAUCUGUCCUGCCGUCCUAGAGGUUUUGGUCUCAUUGCACGGGAAUGGAAGCCUUUGCCUAAUUCCUUGGGACCCUGUGCCCCCGCUUGCCUCAUUAGCACCAAAGAGGAAACCUACUACUCUGCGCCCGCUAGCCCCCGCCUGGCCUUGGUCGUCAUGGCUUACAUCACCUCAACCUCAUGAGGUGAGCGCCUGCAUAGGAAUCUCCGCUUCUCAGGAGGCCGCCUGGGAAGGCCGCUCCCUCCAGAGGUCUUGGUGUCGUCCGCCUCGCGAGGCUUGGCCCAUCGUGAGGGUCUUGUGUUUGUCGAUGUUGAAGAUGGGUCGUACCAGGCCGUUGAUGGAGCCACACUGUGGGCCACAGGCAGGCAAGUCUGGGUACCAUGGUUCCCAGAACGGCGACAGAGUGAUAGUGACAAUUGCCCACUCCUCAUGUGUGGGCGCCACAACUCCUACAGCAACUCGAACCCUAGUUGGUCUUCCUUCCAUUUUGAUGUGUUGGUGGCCUGACGCGAUGAAUUGAGUGGAUCGAAAGGGAAUGUGGCCAUGGUUGCCGACGACAAUGAGACCACCAAGAAGUUGGAGGGGAUGUGGAAAGUUGAUGAGCAGAGUGGGGUGGUAUUGCUCAUGGUAGGUGCGCUGACAACGGGCUGAUUUAUUGGAUUCACGGGAAUAGUGGUGAUUUUUUUAGGGCUAUGGGAAUAGUGGUGGUUGCUGUUGAAUUUCCUGGGAAGGUUCAUAGUGUUGAAUGGGCUGUGAUGUUGCACCCGAAGGUGGGCUAGAAUUGGGCUUAGGAGUAGAGUAGCAGUCCCUGGCUAUACCAACGCUUAAAUGAGCAGCACUUAUGUUGGGAAUUGUUGCAUGGAAAACAAAAAAAAUUCUACACAGACGUCAUGAUAUAUCCAUAGAGAUGCAUAGCAAUGAGGGGGAGAGUGUGUCUACAUACCCUCGUAGAACAUAAGCGGAAGCGUUUCACAACGUGGUUGAUGUAGUUGAACUUCCUCGCGCUUCAACUGAUCAAGUACGAACGCAUGGCACCUCCGUAUUCUACACACGUUCAGCUCGGUGACAUACCUUGCCUUCUUGAUCCAGCAAGACGUCGAGGUAGUAGAUGAGUUCCGUCAACACGACGUCAUGGUGACGGUAAUGGUGAAGUGAUCUCCGCAGGGCUUCGUCUAAGCACUAUGAAAAUAUGACUGGGGGUGUAAACGGUGGAGGGCGGCGCUGCACACGGCUAACAAUUGAUCCGGCGUGUGCUAGACGCCCCCUUCCCACAUAUAUAUAGGUGGGAGGGGGAGGGGAGAGGCCAUGGCGUACCCUAGGGCUGGCCGCCGGCCCCCCUAGGGCCAUGCCUUGCCCUGCGCCCCCCUACCAUGUUUCCCCAAGGGGGAAGGAAAGAGGGGGGAGAGGGAAGGAAGUGGGAAUCCUAAUCCUCACUUCCCUUUCCCUUCUCCCGUUUCCUUCUCCUCCUUAGGCCGACCCAUAUGGGGGGCCCACCUGCCCCUUGUAGCUGGUACUUUUCCCCUCUUGGCCCAUAAGGCCCAUAUCUUUUACUGGGAUGCCCGGAACCCCUUCCGGUGACCCGAUAAGUACCCGGUACCUCCCGAAACACAUUCAGUGUCCGAAUACCAUCAGCAUAUAUAUCAAUCUUUACCUCUCGACCAUUUUGAGACUCCUCGUAAUGUCCGUGAUCUCACCCAGGACUCCGAACAACAUUCAGUCACCAUAUCACAUAACUCAUAUAAUACUAUAUUGUCAUCGAAUGUUAAGCGUGCGGACCCUACGGGUUCGAGAACUAUGUAGACAUGACCGAGACACCUUUCCGGUCAAUAACCAAUAGCGGAACAUGGAUACCUAUAUUGGCUCCUACAUAUUCUCCGAAGAUCUUUAUCGGUCGAACUGUUAUGACAACAUACGUAAUUCCCUUUGUCCAUCGGUACGUUACUUGCCCGAGAUUCGAUCGUUGGUAUCUUCAUACCUAGUUAAAUCUUGUUAUCGGCAAGUCUCUUUACUCAUUCCGUAAUACAUCACCUCAUGACUAACUCAUUAGUUGUUUGCUUGCAAGCUUAUGAUGUGUAUUACCGAGAAGGCCUAGAGAUACCUCUCCGAUACUUAGAGUGACAUCCUAAUAUCGAUCUAUGUGAAGGAAAUAUGCCCUAGAGGCAAUAAUAAAGUUAUUAUUUAUUUCCUUAUAUCAUGAUAAAUGUUUAUUAUUCAUGCUAGAAUUGUAUUAACCGGAAACAU